This 45027-nucleotide long non-coding RNA is filed under the name Sorghum bicolor (sorghum). RNAcentral's name for it is "long non-coding RNA (SBIC_LNC018483)". Lineage: Eukaryota; Viridiplantae; Streptophyta; Magnoliopsida; Poales; Poaceae. The record is from RNAcentral.
UAAGGCCGAACAAGUAGAGUUAUCUUUCUUUUUGAACUCAGAUUGGAACUCUACUCGAUCCGGACCAAGACCACAGUUCAAUUCAGACUUCGCAACAGAUUCGACAGAGAGAAGAUAUGGUAAUACUCGGCUGUGUAUAGAUGGUGACAAGAACUCGAAACUCUAAAGGACUAGACACUAAGACCAGCAACUCGACACAAACCAAAGCAACGCAAAUUCAACAAGCCCUAACUAAAACGGUACUAGCCAAGGCACAAAGGUUUAAUAGGAUUAUGGAAAAACUAAUCUACUAUAUUUUUUUGGCUUUUCUGGACUAUAGGAAAUUAAUUAAAAACAGCAAAGGAUUAGAAGUCUCUCACCGAAGAACCUUGCUCUGAUACCAACUGAUGCGAGCCCGCUAGGGUUUUUGGCCUGAUCUUUCGAUGAGAGGCGCUGGAUAACUCGAUUAAUGGAUGGAGAUGACGUUCACGGCCCGACUACAGCCCUCAAGACCGCGCCUUAGCAACCGAUACACCACGUCCAACAGCCGUCACGAUCUUGUGGAGCGCGACAACCAGCCCCUAGGGCUCCCGUCCUGCAAGCAAUCGAAGGACUAGCAAGAACGAGGAAACAAGCACUGAGUUUGCAAGAUGAAUUGAAGGUUUUAAACUGAAUCUUAAUCAACAAUGGGGUUCCGAAGACAAGGAGGCGGGCGGCUGAUCCUGCACGUGCGCCUACAAGCAAGUAGCGAAGGCUAAACUUGAUCUAAACAAAACCCAGUUGUUCAUGGCGGCUCUAGAUGUAAAUAAAUAGAGGGGAGGACGACCAAAGGGGUGCUAGAGUCGUCCUCCAACCCUAGGACGCGUCCCUAAUGGACUCAACUUGAUACAUGGGCCAUUGGUCCAUAAUAGGGUGACGCAGCACCAAAACAGAAAAAGGUGUCGGCACGAAAACAAGGACUGCGCCCGACUCAUAAGCCGCAUAGAUAUGUGGUUGGACCCAUUGGAAAGUAGACUUCAUGAGCUUUCCAACAAGUAUAGGAACGUCCCAGUUGGAGUCCAUAUGACGCCGUGGUGAUCCAUACAAGUUAGAGUUAUUUUCCAGUCCGAAUCUAACUCCCAAAACGUGUUGGGUUUGGACUCUUUGUUUCCUUGCUUUAGAAACGACGUGGUAACUUGACAGAGGAUGUUGUGGAGGCUUGGACCUGAUCUCCAAUCACCUUUGUUAAGUUAUCACUCUUCCCAUAUGCAAUCAGCCCUUGAAGUUGGUGUUGCCUCAAAUUCUGAAUGCAGUUGAACCUUCCCUUGCUGAUCUUGUCCAUUAUUCCUGAGCAACACCAAAGUGCACGUGUCUCCAUUGUCUAAAUAUGAUUGACAAGAGUUUAAUGCUGAACUUACUUGAAGGUUGAGUUGACGGGCACGAGCACGAGUAAGAGGACCAGCUAUAGGUUGUGUCGGAGAGGAUGUAGGAUAUGUAUCGCUGGUGGAUGUAGGAUAUGUAUCGCUGGUGGAUGUAGGAUAUGUAUCGCUGGUGUUGAUGUCCUCAUCAGGGCUGAAACAAGGAACGAACUAGCACCACGUUAGUUAUAAAAGCGAGCUGAAUAAGCGUUCGACGAUGGUACUGUGCUGGUCCUAGGCUAGACCGUGCUAGAGACGCGAGCCUGGACACAAAGGAAAACCACAGCACACCCCCGAAAACAAGGUGGGACAAACCUAAAAUCAAUAUGAAAAACAGCCCCUUUUUUUGAAUCUUUUCUCUUUUCUUUUUUUUUUCUUUUUUUUCUUUUUUUUGGGCAACCUCAAAAACUGAUUAUAUGAACAAAAGAAUACAAAAGAGCAAUUCGCUCCACACACUUUUUUCGCUCCACACACACACUCUCUCUCUCUAGAGUAAGGCCGAACAAGUAGAGUUAUCUUUCUUUUUGAACUCAGAUUGGAACUCUACUCGAUCCGGACCAAGACCACAGUUCAAUUCAGACUUCGCAACAGAUUCGACAGAGAGAAGAUAUGGUAAUACUCGGCUGUGUAUAGAUGGUGACAAGAACUCGAAACUCUAAAGGACUAGACACUAAGACCAGCAACUCGACACAAACCGAAGCAACGCAAAUUCAACAAGCCCUAACUAAAACGGUACUAGCCAAGGCACAAAGGUUUAAUAGGAUUAUGGAAAAACUAAUCUACUAUAUUUUUUUGGCUUUUCUGGACUAUAGGAAAUUAAUUAAAAACAGCAAAGGAUUAGAAGUCUCUCACCGAAGAACCUUGCUCUGAUACCAACUGAUGCGAGCCCGCUAGGGUUUUUGGCCUGAUCUUUCGAUGAGAGGCGCUGGAUAACUCGAUUAAUGGAUGGAGAUGACGUUCACGGCCCGACUACAGCCCUCAAGACCGCGCCUUAGCAACCGAUACACCACGUCCAACAGCCGUCACGAUCUUGUGGAGCGCGACAACCAGCCCCUAGGGCUCCCGUCCUGCAAGCAAUCGAAGGACUAGCAAGAACGAGGAAACAAGCACUGAGUUUGCAAGAUGAAUUGAAGGUUUUAAACUGAAUCUUAAUCAACAAUGGGGUUCCGAAGACAAGGAGGCGGGCGGCUGAUCCUGCACGUGCGUCUACAAGCAAUUAGCGAAGGCUAAACUUGAUCUAAACAAAACCCAGUUGUUCAUGGUGGCUCUAGAUGUAAAUAAAUAGAGGGGAGGACGACCAAAGGGGUGCUAGAGUCGUCCUCCAACCCUAGGACGCGUCCCUAAUGGACUCAACUUGAUACAUGGGCCAUUGGUCCAUAAUAGGGUGACGCAGCACCAAAACAGAAAAAUGUGUCGGCACGAAAACAAGGACUGCGCCCGACUCAUAAGCCGCAUAGAUAUGUGGUUGGACCCAUUGGAAAGUAGACUUCAUGAGCUUUCCAACAAGUAUAGGAACGUCCCAGUUGGAGUCCAUAUGACGCCGUGAUGAUCCAUACAAGUUAGAGUUAUUUUCCAGUCCGAAUCUAACUCCCAAAACGUGUUGGGUUUGGACUCUUUGUUUCCUUGCUUUAGAAACGACGUGGUAACUUGACAGAGGAUGUUGUGGAGGCUUGGACCUGAUCUCCAAUCACCUUUGUUAAGUUAUCACUCUUCCCAUAUGCAAUCAGCCCUUGAAGUUGGUGUUGCCUCAAAUUCUGAAUGCAGUUGAACCUUCCCUUGCUGAUCUUGUCCAUUAUUCUUGAAGGUUGAGUUGACGGGCACGAGCACGAGUAAGAGGACCAACUGGUGUAGGUGCGGAUAUAUCGAUGGUGUUGAUGUCCUCAUCAUCCUCCCUUUCUUGCAUUUGAGUCGUCCUUGACUCAAGCUCAUGUUCCUCACCCAAAUAUGGUUUCAAAUCUGCAAUGUUAAAUGUGGGACUAACCCCAAAAUCUGCAGGAAGAUCAAGCUUAUAUGCAUUCUCAUUAAUUCCUUGUAGCAAUUUUCCCCAUAAAGUUCUCCAAAAAUGGCUAAGAAAUUUAGUAUCUCGAUCAGAAACCAUUGUAUUUGGCACACCAUGCAAACGAACAACUUCCCAAAAGAAUAAAUCAGCAAUAUGUGUAGCGUCAUCGGUCUUAUGACACGGUAUAAAGUGUGCCAUCUUAGAAAAUCUAUCCACAACAACAAAAACACUAUCACGGCCCUUCCUAGUCUUAGGCAAUCCCAACACAAAAUCCAUAGAAAUAUCUUCCCAAGGAACGCUAGGAACAGGUAGAGACAUAUACAAACCAUGUGGAUUUAAGCGUGACUUAGCCUUUUGACAGGUUGUGCAGCGAGCAACAAAUCUCUCCACAUCUCUCCUCAUCCUUGGCCAAAAGAAAUGACCAGCAAGUAUGUCCUCCGUCUUCUUUGCUCCAAAAUGUCCCAUCAAACCUCCUCCAUGAGCUUCCUGUAGCAACAACAAACGAACAGAGCUAGCUGGAAUGCAUAGCUUGUUAGCUCUAAACACAAACCCAUCACUAACGAUGAAUUUGUUCAAUCCUUUUCCAUCUUUACAACGCAGCAACACUUCAUUAAAAUCAGCAUCAUGAACAUAUUGGUCUUUGAAAAUUUCUAAUCCAAAAAUCUUGUAAUCAAGUUGAUUUAACAAAGUAUAUCUCCUUGACAAAGCAUCAGCAAUGAUAUUCUCCUUCCCUUUCUUGUGCUUAAUAACAUAAGGAAAGGAUUCAAUAAAUUCUACCUACUUAGCAUGUCUGCGAUUUAGUUUUCCUUGACUACGAAUAUGUUUUAAAGAUUCAUGAUCAGAAUGAAUAACAAACUCUUUGGGCCACAAAUAAUGUUGCCAUGUUUCUAAAGUUCGGACAAGAGCAUACAAUUCUUUAUCAUAAGUUGAAUAGUUCACAACAGGCCCACUGAAUUUCUCACUAAAAUAUGCAACAGGUUUACCCUCUUGUAGCAAAACACCUCCCAAACCAAUCCCACUAGCAUCACACUCAAGCUCAAAAGUCUUAUUAAAAUCAGGAAGCUGUAGGAGAGGUGCAUGUGUUAACUUAUCUUUCAACAUGUUGAAGGAAUUCUCUUGUACUUUGCUCCAAACAAAAGGCACUCCCUUCUUUGUAAGCUCAUUCAAUGGUGCAGCAAUGGUGCUAAAAUCCUUCACAAAACGACGAUAAAACCUAGCAAGUCCUAAGAAACUCCGCACCUGGGUGAUUGUCUUUGGUACAGGCCAUCCCUGUAUAGCUUCUACCUUGGCUUGAUCAACCUCAAUUCCAUAACCUUUGUCGAGGAGUUCUUGCACUUGCCGCUGGAUCUCUUUUGUUUCCUCUAGAUUUGUCCUGUAUGGCGCACGGUUUGGCAAAGAUGCACCAGGAAUAAGAUCAAUUUGGUGCUCAAUCCCACGUAUAGGUGACAGCCCUGCCGGUAUCUCACUUGGAAAAACAUCAGCAUACUCCUGCAAAAUGUUAUGAACAGCAGGGGGCAAAGAAUGCAGCAUAUCUUCAAUUGAAAUCAAAACACCCUUACAUACCAAAGCAUAAGCAAUAGAUGUGGAAGCAAUUAGUUCAUUAACAUCAAAUUUAGUAGCAAGCAUGCAAUGUCCAUUUAAUCUUAUCUCAUCUUUGUUAUUUCCAUUGGUAUCUGCAUUGUUCUUAAUUUUAGCCUUGGUAAUUUUAGCAACUUCAUCACGUACGAUAGCUUCGGGAGACAUAGGUAGCAAAACAAUUUUCAUAUCAUGGUGCAUAAACGAAUACUGAUUUGAUCUACCAUGAUGUAUACAUUCCUUAUCAAAUUGCCAUGGUCUACCUAGCAGAAUAUUACAAGCUUCCAUAGGUACAACAUCACAUUCAACAACAUCAUGGUAUGAACCAAUAGUAAAAUUAAUUCGCACUAGUUUUGUUACCUUGGCCUUACCACUGUUGUUCAGCCACCGAAUGUGAUAUGGAUGUGGAUGUGGUUUGGUGGUAAGUGCAGGCUUCUCCACCAUGUCGCUGCUAGCCAAGUUGUUGCAGCUACCUCCAUCAAUAAUCAAACGACAAGAACGCUCUUUAAUAACAUACUUUGUUUGGAACAAUGUAUGCCGCUGAUUCUGCUCUACCUUCUCCGCUUGAGCACUAAGCACACGCUGCACAAUAAGACUCUCAUAAUGCUCUACAUUCUCUGUACCUAUCUGCUCUUCUAUUGCUUCAUCCCUACCUGUAUCAUCAGCAGCAAGCAAAGCACGUGUAUCAUCAUCAAAAUCACUAGCAGAGGAAUACCCACCAUCAGUGUUAACCACCAAAACACACUUGUUUGGACAAUCUCGCUGUACGUGCCCAUAGCCCUUGCAUCGAUGACACUGAACAUCUCUUGUUCUUCCCGUGGAAUUAACCGAGGAGGCACUAGCGAUUGGUCUCUGGGCUGAUUUAGUUGCUGUAUUUGUGGAAGAAUCAUGUGGUUUGUCGCUGUAGGAAGGUGGUGGAGCUAUUGAUCGGCUUGAUGGAAGAGGUACACCACCCGACAAUGUAGCAGAUGUGCGUUGUUGCCAGGAUUUCCCUGCAGAAUUGUUAGAUUUGGCACUAGAACGUCGUCCCUGCACUUCCCUUUCAACUUUACAAGCAAGACGAAACAAACGGGUUACGUUAGUAUAAUCUUUAUAAGCAAGAAUGUCCUGGAUUUCACGAUUUAACCCGCCCAAAAAUCUAGCCAUAGCAGGUUCUUCUUCCUCCUCUAAAUUACAUCGCAGCAUACCCAUUUGUAAUUCCUGAUAAUAUUCUUCUACACUUUUAGCACCUUGUCUCAAUUGCUGCAACUUAUUAAUCAUGUCACGUGCAUAGUAAGAAGGAACAAAUCUAGCCCUCAUGACUUGUUUCAACGCAUUCCAAGUUCUAGGUAUGUUAUUAGGAUUUUUCUUGCCAUGUUCUAUUGAAAGGAUCUAAUUGGCCUAGAGGGGGGGGUGAAUAGGCGUAUCUUAAAAACCUGAAACUCAAAAACUCAAGUUGCGGAAGUCAAAUGCCUGUCUGUACUACCGACAGUUUGGGCCGGUACUACUGGUGUCACACAGCCAGUAGUACCGACGCAAACUGCUGGUACUACCGACUCCUAAGACAGCUACGAAAUCAGAGUGUAAAGGGCUUAGAUUUCAGAUCUGAGUUUUACCCCACUUUCCUAGGUGUAGAAGAAGGUGUUGUUGAAGUCUCCUUAGCUUAGUUCUUCUCCACACCGUAGAUCAACCCUUGUUUACCUGUGAAAAGAGAAAAAGAUAGGAAUACCAAGAACACAAACAAGGGUAGUCGAAGCUACCUCCACAGCAAGACAAGGUAUUUUCUCCGAGGUUCGGCAAUCUCCACUAAGGAGUUCCUACGUCCCCGUUGUUGAGGUGACCACGAAGGUCUGACCACUUAGGUCUCCUCCUCAAGCAACCACAAAGGUUGGCUUGAUGUUUCCACUAAGAAUCAAGGGGUAAUACAAACACUUCGGGGUGCCCUCACAAAUGAAUCAACACGGGCAACCACGAAGAACGCCUAGCCGGCUAGGGUUCCAAGAACCCAAGAGUAACGAACACAAACCAAACCGGCAAGACGAGGAACAGAGUGCUCAAGUCACAGAUCGAGGCUCCCAACUCUCUAAUCUCACUUCUCUAGCUCGAAUCUCUCAAGAAAUGAAGUCUAGGAGCAAGAGGGAGAGAGAGUGGGUGAGACAAAGCUUGGAGACUGUUUUCUCAGAGUUGGAGUAGCUAGAAUGAGCAAGCCAACGGUUAGAAAAGAGGAAAGAGCUAUUUAUACUAGAGUACAGAAGACUGGCCGGUACUACCGGUGCAAACACCGGUACCACCGGCCCCCCAGAACUAAACGUGAGAAAGCUAAGAAAGAUGUGAGAAAAAAGGCCUACCGGUACUACCGGCCUUGGGCCGGUACUACCGGCCAGCGCCGGUACUACCGGUGGAAGGCCGGUACCACCGGCAGUGCAAAAUCUCGCAAAACAUGAGUUUUGCGGGAUUUUUGCCUGCCGGUACUACCGGCGUUUCACCGGUACUACCGGCGGUAGCCGGUACCACCGGUCAAAGCCCGGUACUACCGGUAGUUCAAUUUCUCGCAAAACUCAGGAGUAGAGCUGGCACUACCGGUACCACCGGCCCUGAGGGCCGGUACUACCGGCUCACCCUGGCAGAGAAGAAACUUUCCAGAAGUUCGUGUGUGCAAGUGUGUCUCUCAAGCGCAAGACCUAAGUUGACCUGAGCACCUUUAUCCUCAUCUUACCGACUCAAUUUGCAUCCCUCUUGAUAGUGCGGCGUUUCCUAUCACUCAAACAAGAAAUAAAACUAGGUAGCUUCUUGAGUUGAAACGUCGCUUAUAUGAAGAAAUUUUGGGGGUGCUGUGAUUCACCAAAUGUGUAAUUUUGAUUCCAUCAAUGAACUAACACCUGUAGAUUACACUUGAUAGACAUGUUAGUUCCUAAUUUGAUUGUCAUUAAUUAUCAAAACCCACACCGGGGGCGAAUGCACUUACAAACUCCACCUUUUUGGUAAUUGAUGACAACCAACUUAGGCUUAUAAAAGAUUGAAAGAAGUAGAGCUUUUGAAUUCCAAAAAUUAGGUUGGGCUCCCCCUUAAUGUAUGCAUUGAAUUUGGAAUUUCAAAUCUUGAUUAAUAUCAAGAUGGCAUACAUUAAGAUCAAGCUCCCCCUAAAUUUUGCAAUCCGUGGGGUGCCUAAAAGAGUGUGUGUGUGACAAGAAAUAAACCGUGAUGCGUAUGACAGGAUAUAUCACAAAGAGUAAAGGAAGAAUUUGAAUGAUUGUGCAAGAACCAAGGAACUCACAAUAACCAUUCAAAAACAACAUUGCACCAACAAAAGUCUAAAGAAGCUAACACAAGCAGGAUAUAACGAGAAAUAACACAACCAUGAGGAUCAGCUGAGGUGGACUGCUCAUGAGGGGGUGCAACAGAAACAGAGGCCCUAGUGACAUUGUCCGCAGCACCAAAGAUAUCCUGAUAAGCAAAGCCAGCCUCGGUGUCCUCCAUAGAGAAACCAGCAGGAAUCCCACCACCAUAGAAUGGAUCAAAAGCAGAGGGAGGAUCCUGCUGCUCCUCAUCUUCAUCAACAGAAGGCCGAUGCAUGUUGUCAUAAUCAGCAUAGGGGUCCUGGAACUCACGAAGAGGAGAGGACGGAGGAAGAGCUGCCUUCUCCUCAAGACGAUGGAGACGCUGAUCGGUCUUCUUUUGGCAAUAGCAAAAAUAGGAGAAGAACCGCUGCAGCGCAUGACGGGUAGGACUACGGCGCCCACGACCGCUGUCCUGAGGAGGGAUGGCUUCCCCUUGAGCAUCAGCAGCACCAGCAGGAGUGGCAAAACCAGGGAUAGCAGCACCAGGAGUAGCAGCACCAGCAGGACUGUGAGGAGGAGCAUGAGGAGCACCCAAGUGCUUGGCACGGACCGGAGCAUGAAUGCAAGGGUGCGAGAACUGCAUGCCAGUUACUUGCUCAAUAAUAUGCAUCAGAUAUGGAGCAUAGGGCAGGUACUUGUUGGGAUCCACGGACGCAUCAGCAAUCUUGUUCCACAUGAAAUCCGAGACACCGAAGCGGCCACCAUUGGCACCAAAGCGAGCCAAAAUCUUAGGAGCAUCUUGGCGAAGGUGAAUGGAAUCUCCAAACUUGGGGUCAAUGGUGUAGCGGAUCAGGUUGUUCAGCACAUAGAAGUAAGGCUUCAGGUGAGUGGUCUUGAGAUCCGGAUGAGCUCCUGGCUUGUACAUUUCAGCAGCAUCAAGGUCAGCCUCAGAAAUCCCCUCAGCAAAGAUGGUAGACAGCCGGGGUGCAUCUCGAUCCAAGUGAUCAAAACCAAGCAAGCGAGAGAAAGUGAUAAAAUCAAGGCGAUAGUGAACACCUUGAGUCAUCCAAUGCAGCACCCUAGAAGCUUGAUCGACCCACAAAGUUGCCCAAAACUGAAAGAUGAUCUCCUCAUUCCAAUUCUUCUCAAGGGUCAUAAGAGGAAGAAUGCGCCAUUCUUCAAGCCUGUUAAUCAAAGCAGUGACCUCCGGAUGAUUGAAAUCUUGUAAGGACUUGAGGACCACAUACUUGUGCUGAAAGAGUGGUCCAUUCUUGGUGGCUUUGCCGCCCUUGUAGAGGACGGACUCAUAAAAGUCAUUGUGAAACUGAGACCAAAACCUCUCCUCAACUCCCUCAAACUUGAUGAAUUUGUACGGGUUCUCGCUGCGCUGAGUUCUUAAGUCCGUAAGACGCUUCUUGUAAUCAAUACCAAAUCGGGGCAGCGUACCAGAGGGAAUAGAGGGCCUCCGGACAUGAGCAUUGAACUGAGGAUGCCAUUGGAGAGUCCGGCGAGCACCAACCUCACUGAGAUGCAGAGGCGAGCGACGAAGGACAUUGGGGUCCAUGGAUCUGCCCUCCUCUUGCACAGGAUCAGGCACAGCUUGGCUUCGAACUCUAGCUUGAUGGGAAGGAGGCGGACACGGGACGGUGUGGGUGUGAAGAGGGGCAGGAAUGCCUUCAUCACCGGCGGAAGCGCCAGCCGCACCCGAACUGCGUGAAGGGGUUCCACGACCACGCACAGCCCGGUCCGCAGACCGACCACCGGCAUCACUGGAGCGAGGACGAGCACCACGAGGAGGGUUCUUGCGCUUGCCGGAAUCCAUGCUACAACACCACAAAGAGGGGCAGCAAGAGAACGUUACAAGGCCAUACUAGAAUGUAACAAGAAAUCGAUCAAGGCGAUGGGAGGAACUGCCGUGCUCACAGGGGCCGGUACUACCGGCGGCACCGUGGAGCAAGGGAAUCACCUCCAAUCGACCAAAUCGACCAUGGGAAAGGCGCAUAAAACAUUCUAGAGGCAAGAACACACUAAGAUAAGGAAAGGAGUGCGAGGAAUCGGCCUAAAAAUAGGUACAUUGGGAGAUCGGGCAAUACCAAGAUGUACCUUGCGUCACGAAGAAAAGGGGCCGAAUCCAAGCAAACCCACGAGUCUUGGGGUCAACCAAGGACCUCCACGCGUCCCUCACGGCCGGGGCAAGGUCCUCCUCAAAGAUCGGGCGAAGAAGACGGAGGAGCCGAGAGAUCGGGGCAAGAGAAGAGCCGCCGCCGCCGUGAGAAGGAGAGAGAGAAAGGGACGGGCGGGUGGGGAAGAGAUGGGAAAGAGAAAUAACUGCGGGGGGCUUAUAUACCGCAGUAAAAAAAAAGCACUGCCGGUACUACCGGCUUCAGGGGCCGGUACCACCGGCGGGCCAGAGACCUGCGAGAGGAAUUCUGUGGGAUUUUGGCAUACCGGUGCUACCGGGCUUUGGCCGGUACCACCGGCUGGAGCCGGUACCAUCAGUGCUAGGCGCCGGUACCACCGGUAGGGCAGGAAAAACAGCGCUUAAAGGUGAACUAGUGUGGCAAACCAAAAAACAAAUCAGUCAUGGCCAGAUUUCAUCAAAUCAUCACAAAACAAUGGCCAUGCUUGAGAUGUGAAAAAUAGAUUUUGAAAGACACAAGAGUUUUCACAAAGAUUUGUCCUUUCUAAUCAAACAAGUGUGUGCAAGACAUCAACCCAUGUUACGAGAAUCAACGAUAUUUAGUUCACGCCUCAAAGCACAAAAUCUUGACUCAUCUAGAGGUUUAGUGAAGAUAUCGGCUAACUGGUAUUCGGUUCUCACAUGUUGCACAGCGAUAUCUCCUUUGGAUUGAUGGUCUCUCAGGAAGUGAUGUCAAAUGUCUAUGUGCUUUGUUCUAGAGUGGUUCACAGGGUUAUCAGCUAGCUUGAUUGCCCCCUCAUUGUCACAUAAGAGGGGAAUAUUGCUUUGCUCACAACCAAAGUCUCUCAAGGUUUGCUUCAUCCAAAGUAGUUGGGCACAGCAAGCGUCGGCCGCCACAUACUCGGCUUCAGCGGUGGAGAGGGCAAUGGAGUUUUGUUUCUUAGAACUCCAGGACACCAAAGACCUACCAAGGAACUGGCAAGUCCCUGAUGUACUCUUUCGCUCUACCCUGCAACCGGCAUAGUCCGAGUCGGAGUAGCCAAGUAGAGUGAAAGUGGAGCCCUUUGGGUACCAUAAGCCAAGAUUAGGAGUGAACACAAGAUAUCGAAAGAUUCUCUUAACAGCCAUAAGAUGACAUUCUUUCGGAUUAGCUUGAAACCUUGCACACAUGCACACAAUAAGCAUAAUAUCAGGCCUAGAUGCACAAAGGUAAAGCAAAGAUCCAAUCAUGGAGCGAUAUACCUUUUGAUCAAUGGCCUUGCCGUCUCCAUCAAGGUCAAGAUGUCCGGUUGUUGGCAUUGGUGUCUUUAUGGGUUUGGCCUUGUCCAUGUCAAACUUCUUUAGCAUGUCAGUGGUGUACUUGGUUUGACUUAUGAAUGUGCCGUCCUUGAGUUGCUUGAUUUGAAAUCCAAGGAAGUACGUCAACUCCCCCAUCAUGGACAUCUCGAACCUCUUGGUCAUAAUCCUACUAAAUUCCUCACUGAAGUCCGCAUUAGUACUACCAAAUAUAAUGUCAUCGACAUAUAUUUGGCAUAUAAAAAUAUCAUUAUUGACUUUGCGAGUAAAUAAAGUGGGAUCAGCUUUCCCAAUCUCAAACCCUUGUUUGAGUAGGAAAUCCUUGAGACAAUCAUACCAAGCUCUAGGGGCUUGCUUAAGCCCAUAGAGUGCCUUGUCCAGCUUGUAUACAUGAUCAGGAUGAUGUGGAUCUUCAAAACCCGGUGGUUGCUCCACGUACACGGUUUCGGAGAGGGGGCCAUUUAGGAAUGCACUUUUCACGUCCAUUUGAAACAACUUGAAAUCAUGGUGAGCAGCAAAGGCAAGUAAUAUACGAAUAGAUUCAAGCCUAGCUACAGGUGCAUAAGUCUCCCCAAAAUCCAAACCUUCGAUUUGAGUGAAACCUUUGGCUACCAACCGAGCCUUGUUUCUAGUGACCACGCCAUACUCAUCUUCUUUGUUGCGGAAGACCCAUUUGGUACCUAUCACGUUUUGCUUGGGUCUUUCCACCAAGGACCAGACUUCAUUCCUAGUGAAGUUGUUCAACUCUUCUUGCAUAGCCAUCACCCAAUCCGGAUCCGCCAAGGCAUCCUCCACCCUAUUCGGCAACAUAGAGGAGACAAAAGAGUAAUGUUCACAAAAACCAACUAAACGAGAGCGAGUUGUUACCCCUCGUUGUAUGUCUCCCAAGAUGCUAUCAACGGGAUGAUCCCGUUGAAUGGAGUGAUGAACUCUUGGAUGUGGCACUGCUGUUCUUGUUUGAAUGGGACCAUCAUCUUCAUCUUCAUGGUCUUGGUUGAUUGGAGAGUCUAGAUUUUGAGCGUUUUGAUCUCCAUCUUGGUUUGGUUCUUGUGCUUGAGGUGGAUCUUGUUUAGCUUGUUCUCUUGAGUCAUGACCUCUUCUUGAUGUGGAAGCAUCAUCAUGGGUAUUGGUUGACCCAUGAUGCAGGUUUGGGUCACGAGAAAUUUGCAUGUGUGCAUCAUCUUCUUCUUCUUCAACGGGUUUCACUUCACCGGUAGCAAGCUUUUUGAUUACUUGGUGUGAUGGCUCUUCUUUACCUAAAAUUUCAGCAUUGACUUGCUCUUUUUGAGAGCCGUCGCUUUCAUCAAAAGUCACGUCUACCGCUAUUUCAAUUUGACCGGUGGUCUCAUUGAAAACACGAUAGCUAUGUUGAUUAGUAGCAUAACCAAGUAAGAAUCCUUCAUCAACCUUUGGUGCGAACUUAGAGAUUUUGGAUCUUUUAUUAAGUAUGAAACACUUGCAUCCAAAAACUCUGAAGUAAUCCACCUUAGGCUUUUUACCGGUUAGGGGCUCGUAGGCAGUUUUCUUCCUCAGCUUGUGAAGAUAUAGGCGGUUGAUUGCAUGACAUGCCGUGUUAACGGCUUCUGCCCAAUAAUCCUUUUCAGAGAUCUUGUAUUCAUCCAACAUUGCUCUUGCGGCUUCAAUGAGUGUUCGGUUCUUUCUUUCCACCACACCGUUUUGUUGAGGAGUAUAUGCAACCGAGAACUCAUGCUUGAUGCCUUCUUCAUCAAGGUAUGCUUCAAUGUUGGUGUUUCUAAAUUCAGUCCCGUUGUCGCUUCUCACUUUCUUGAUCUUCACUUCAAACUCAUUUUGAGCCCUUCUUGCAAACUUCUUGAAGAUCCCUUGAGUCUCACUCUUGUCCUUCAAAAAGAAUACCCACGUGAAGCGAGAAAAGUCAUCGACAAUUACAAAACCAUAUUUGUUACCUCCAAUGCUUAUGUAAGCAUUGGGUCCGAAUAAAUCCAUGUGAAGAAGCUCAAGUGGUCUUGAUGUAGUCACGAUGUUCUUCGCGGGAUGCUUGGCUCCAACUUGUUUUCCCGCUUGACAUGCACUGCAAAUUCUAUCUUUCUCAAAAGAAACAUUCGUUAGUCCUAGGAAGUGUUCACCUCUUUGAAGAUCGGCCAAGUUCCUCAUCCCAACAUGGGCUAGACGGCGAUGCCACAGCCAGCCCAUGCUAGAUUUUGCCACUAAACAAGUCUCGGACCCCACUCUACUAGCUGAAAAAUCAACUAGAUAGAGUUUGCCCUUUAGUUGACCCGUAAAAGCAAUAGAGGAAUCCGACCUUCUAGAGACUUCCACAUCCUUAUCCGUAAAGAGACAAUUGUAACCCUUCUCACAAAGUUGUGAGACGGACAACAAAUUGUAUCCCAACGAAUCCACAAGCAAAACAUUUGAAAUGGAAUUAUCAUUUGAAAUUGCAAUUUUACCUAAACCAAGGAUAUCUCCUUUACUAUUGUCACCAAACACAAUUCUUUCACUUGUGGUUUGAUUUGAUUGAAAGGAGGUGAACAUGCUCUUCUCUCCGGUCAUGUGAUUGGUGCAUCCACUAUCGAGCACCCAACUUGGCCCACCGGAGGAAUAAACCUACAAGAUAAGAUUAAGCCUUGUUUUAGGUCCCGAGUUGGAACCUAGGGGGUUAGACACAUAAGAUUUGGGCACCCAAACACUCCUCAAGAUUUGUCUCUUCUUGAGGGCGCCCACAUACUUCACAACAAUCUUGCCAUCCUUAUCCCAACAACACAUGUAAUCACAGAUAUGAUUGCGUGAGAUAGGCUCUUGUUGCUUGGGCAUUUCCCUUUGCUUCUUUUUGAUGUCCUUGUUGCUUGCAAGUGGAAUUGUAGGAGUGACAACAUUGUUCACUUUGUCAAUAAGGUCAACAAGAGGCACACUCUUGUUGAACUUCACACAAGCCACCCCAUUUAUCAUGUUUCUUCCAUUGGCUCUACCAUUAUACCUGUUGUAUCCGAGGCCAUCCUUGAUUAUGGGGUGCCUUGAUGCCUUGAACACAUUUGCCGGUUGCUUGUCCUUGCACUUGCAACCAAUCUUGACAAUUGUGUUUAAUCUUUGGAUCUCCUUGUCCUUCUUUGCUAACUCAUCAAGGUUAGUGAGACAAGCAUUUAUGUCAACAUUUAUGCAUCUUUCACAGCUUUUACUUGUAGAAGCCUUUCAAUCCUUGGAAGAGUUAGAGGUGCUAGACCAAAGCUUUUCAUAGUUUAGUUCAAGCUCAUGAUAUUUUGUUGUCAAGCUUGUGAGGCUUUCUUGAGCCAAACUAUGAUCAUUCUUUAGGCUAGCCAAAGAUCCAUUGAGUGAGGAAUGUUCCUUAGUCAAUCGCUCAUUGGAGUUUUUGACUAGAGACAAUUCUACACUCAAUUUCUCAACUCUCUCCUUUUCCUUGGAGAGACAUACUUCGAGCCCUUGGUUCUUCUCCCUUUCCUCUAGGAGCAGUUCGCCUUGCGACUCGAUGCAUGACUCAAGCUUGUCAUUAGCGUAUAUUAGCUUUAGAAUUUUAGUUGCAGCAGCUUUACCAUAUUUCUUAAUGAGAUUGUUGGCAUAGUUUUCAUCAUCUUCAUUUUCACUAUCAUAGUCACUAGUGGUUUGAGGAGAGGAGUCAGUUUGUACCUUGUCUCCUUUUGCCAUAAGGCAUGUAGGAGUGUCAUCAUCGUCAUCGGAGAGAUUGGCGAAGAGCCUAGGCGAUGAAUGGGUGUCGGAGAUAAGUGCUGUUGAUGAGGCAACGUUGGUGAGGAUCUUGUUUGGGGAGGAUCCUUCUUGUACUGCGAUGGCAGCUACACUCUUCUUCUCAUUGUCAUCAUCAUCACUGUCACUGUCCGAUUGCCAUUCUUGCCCGAGGUGAGCUUCCCCUUUCUUCUUGUCUUUGUACUUCUUGUCAUUUUGUUUGGUGUACCUUGACUUUUUUCCUUUAUUGGGACAAUCUGCUGCAAGAUGGCCGGUGUCACCACACUCAUAGCAAAACCUCUUCCUAUAUGGCUUGCUUCCUCCAUAUCUCCUCAUCUUAUCUUUCUUCAUUCUCAGAUAGUUCUUAUAGUUUCCCACUAGCAUAGCUUGUUCUUCAUCAAGAUCAUCAUCAUCUUUGUGCUUAUGCUCACAACAUCCUUUGUUGCAAUGGCUUGACUCACUUGCAUGUGAAGCUGUGAGUGCUAUGUUCUUUCUUUGAUUUAAGGCUUCUUUUGCUUCAUCAUCCAAGACUUCAUGAUGCAUCAACUUUGCAAGCAUUUCUUGAGGUGUCAUAGUGUGAUAGUUGUCUUUCUCCAUGAUGACGGAUGCAAGCAUGUUGUUCCUUUGUCUAUACACUCUACAAAUCUUUCUUGCUGCAGAGUUGUCAUCCCAUGUUGUUGCUCCAAGUGCUCUAAUCUGAUUGAGACAGAGUUUGACUUGUGGGAUCUGAUUGUCUCAGAGAUAGAGGACACCAUCUCCGAGAGCUUCAGGGGCCGGCGUCAGUUGCCCUACGCACAUUGGAUCACUCUGCUUAUACUUCGUGCUAGGCCACUACCUCUGCCAGCUCACUUGCAGAGGGAGUUGACAGAGUCCGACACCGUCUUCCCCCACUACGACCCCCGGCAGAUGUUGAGAGCGCACCACGACCUUCGCGGUGCCCCUCCUCCUCGUGCUCCACGUGGACCAGUGCCCCCACCUUCUCCGAGGGGCACUCGCAGUACAGCAGCAGUUGCUGAGACAGAGGAGCAGCAGGAUAUAGCUAUUGGGGCGUUCGCCGAUGCAGAGGCAGAGGGCGAGUUUGACUUCGCCUCAGACAGUUCAGACGACGACUAUCAGCCGCCUGUGACUGACCUUCCUCCCAGAGCUCACGACCACGAGGCAGGUGGUUCUUCGAGUGCUUCAGACCCCGCCCUGCUUGCUAUACUAGAGGGUAUGAGGGCAGACCAGCGCCGUGCAGCUGAGGAGCAGGCGAGACGCGACAGAGAUCAGGCUGCCAUCAAUGCAGCCAUGCAGGCCAGGCAGGAUGAGCUCCAGCGUCAGCUUCUCACCUUUCAGGAGCAGCAGCUUGCUUUCCAGGCCCAGCAGACAGCGAUGAUGGCCGCUCUCAUGGCCGCCUCCGGGAUUCAGCUACUGCAGAUCCAGCUCCCAGGCACGUCGUCCGUCAGGCCCCCUACUCCUGCGCCCCAGACUCAGAGCCCGUCACAGCAGCCGCUCCAGCUACCAGCUCAGAGUCAGCCGUUUUCGACGCCACAGCACCAGGUCUCUCAGGGUGCUAUCACUUCAGGCUUUGAGCAGGUACCGCAGUUUACCCCUCUCCGCUCAGGCUUCACCCCUCAGUCAGCUUCAGCGUCACAGCUUGUGUGGGACUCGCAGACAGAUCCGCACCUCAGCUUCACCUACAGUGCUCUGACUGGUGACCCUACGCCUCCUCCUCUGCAGGCUCCUACAGUCUUUACGGCGCCAGUUACCACUACAGAGCUUCUGUCGUCGUCCGUAGAGUCGUCCGAGCAGCUUGCACUGUCUACUACAGUACCAGAGACGACAGCUACAGCGACUGAGUCCGUGCCAGCUUCGUCAGCCGGACUUGAGCAGCCAGCACAGCCUGUGACAGUGCCAGAGCAGACCCGGACCGCUUCUCCAGCACAUGCAGCUUCAGAGGGUCACUCCACCUCCUCCGCCUCGACGGCCGAUAGUUCCGAUGAUGCAGCUCGUUUUGUGGCCGCGCCGAGGGACUCUUCUGCUCCGCCUCCUCCGCCGUCUUCUUAGGUUUUUGGCGCUUGAUGCCAAAGGGGGAGAGAGUGCGUAUGAGAGAGUUAGCCAGUUAGGGGGAGCUAGAGAGGGAGUUUAUUCUUUUGAGAUACUUUCGAUGUGUGCUACUUCAUCAUGCAUCAUGUUUACUUUUAUGCAUUUACACUUGUGUGAGAUACUAUGGUUAUGAGACAUGAUUUGUGCUUUAUGUGAUAUCUUAAUGUCAUGUGUUUGGCUCAUAUUAUCUUUGCUUCCGCGUUUCUACUCCGAUGUAACUAUGAGCCUUAUGUUUAUAUCCUGUUAUAUACCACUCACAUAUUUGGAUGCAGGAUAUUGGACUUGGUUGAUAUAAGCAUGUCUAAUACCUUAGUUCUUAUUGUAACAUGCUUAUUGAAACCAAGUCACUUUAAAAACCUCAACUCCUUUCAUACUCGAGGUUGUCAUCAAUCACCAAAAAGGGGGAGAUUGAAAGAGCAUCUAGGCCCCUAGUGGUUUCGGUGAUUAAUGACAUUGUUGAUUACUAUGACUAACGUGUGUUUUGCAGAGGCAAAGUCAUAAGGUAAGGUCAUGGUAUAUAGGUACUCGAUGGACAGGGACGUACAUGCCUACUUAAUAGUUGAAAUCGUUUCGGUUUUCGAAGGAUCGAUGGACAUCGUCAAGACUAGACUAGGUCUAAGUGCCAUAUGGUGAGGAAGGGCACUUAGAGUAGUUUAGGACUUUGUUUUCCUUUGACCGUACUAUUAAGAGGGGCUUUGAUCUAGUAGCUUGACUUAGGCAAGGCUUUAGGUUUAGGUGUGGUGCACACUUGGUAAACCUAGCACUAGGCAGCUCAGAGAUAGUCCUUAGAUCGAGAGGAACCAACUUCGUUUUGGAGCGAUCGCGUUUCAACGAAGUUUGGGUGCCCAAAGGGGCACCGGACGCUGCACCGGACGCUCUGUGAGUGCGUCUGGUGAGGUCCUUAGCCGUUAGAAAAGCUUGGUGCUUAGGGUUAGGCACCGGACGCUAGCACCAGACGCACCGGGUAGCGUCCGGUCCCAUGCGCAGGGAGCAUGUAAAGUUAUUCCGAGCACCGGACGGUGCACCGGACGCUGAGAGUUAGCGUCCGGUGAACUGUCAGAGAAAAGAGCAGGUAGCCGUUAUGAAGCACUGGACACUCGGUGCAGUGCGUCCAGUGCAACAUAAUGUGCGUCCGGUGACCCCGUUUUCAGUGGAAAACGGUUGGCCGACCUGUGGACUUCGUGGAUAGUAUUUAUACUCCUCCACCUCGUCCAUGAGAGCCCUCUUGCCCAUUUGAACAUCAGAGAAACUUGUUUGUGGAGCAAGAGAGUUGCAAGAGCCUAGAGAGGAUUGAGAUUUGAGUGAUUUCUUGAGAGAAUCCUUCUCUAGUGAGUUCCAAGAGUCAAGUGUGCAUCCACCACUCUCUAGAGCCUUGUUUGGGUCAAGUGAGCGUUCUUUGCUUGUUACUCUUGGUGAUCGCCAUCACCUAGACGGUUCGGUGGUGAUUGGAGGCACGAAGACCGCCCAGGAGUUCUUGUGGGUGGCUCGUGUCAAGCUUGUGAGCGGUUUUGGGCGAUUCACCGCGACGGAGUGUCGAAGAAUCAGCCCGUAGAGAGCACUUGGUCCUUGCACGGACCAAGGGGGAGCAAGACCCUUGCGCGGGUGCUCCAACGAGGACUAGUGGAGAGUGGCGACUCUCCGAUACCUCGGCAAAACAUCGCCGAGCACUUUCUUCCACUACUCCUUUACUUUCUAGCAUUUACUUUGUGUUUUUACAUUCUUAGAAUUGCCUUGCUAGAAUAGGAUUGGAACUAGGUCGCAAAACCUUUUAUCCGGUAGCUCUCUAAGUCACACUAGGCACAAGGGGUUGAAUUGGAGCUUAUAGGUUGCUUAAAUUUUUAGAGAAGCCCAAUUCACCCCCCACUUGGGCAUCUUGAUCCUUUCAACACUGUCUCUAAACAGACGGAAGUGAGAUUCCAUAUGACACCCAUCUAGGAGUUCCAUCUGGUGCGUCCAAAUUGAUUUCUGAGCAUAUGGUAUGUUCCAUGCAAAUCGUGCACCUAUCUUGUAUCAAGAUUAGCACUAUCUCUAAACAGGCCGAACCGAGCUUUCACUUGAGCCUUUUACCUAGGAGUACCAUCGGGUGCGUCCAAAAUGGUUUCUUAGCCUAGGCUGCAUUAUGUGCAAACCUUGCACCUAUCUUGCACCGAAACUAACAUUGUCUCCAAACACACCGAAGCAAGAUUUCGUAUGACACACGUAAUCUAGGAGUUCCAUCAUGUGCGUCCAGAUUGAUUUUCAAGUAUUUGGUAUGUUCCAUGCAAACCGUGCACCUAUCUUGCAUCAAGAUUAGCACUAUCUCCAAACAGACCGAACCGAGCAUCCACUUGAGCCCCUUCACCUAGGAGUACCAACAAGUGCGUCCAAAAUGAUUUCUUAGAGUAUGGUGCAUUAGGUGCAAACUGUGGACCUAUUUUGCACCGAAACUAACAAUGUCUCCAAAUGGACUGAAGUGAGAAUCCAUAUGACACACGUCAUCAAGGAGUUCCAUCGGGUGCAUCCAAAUUGAUUUCCAACCAUAUAGUAUGUUCCUUGCAAACCAUGCACCUACCUUGCAUAAGGAUUAGCACUAUCUCCAAACUGACCGAACCAAGCUUCCACUUGAGUCUCUUCACAAAGGAGUACCAAAUAGUGCGUCCAAAAUGGUUUCUUAGACUACGGUGCAUUAGGCGCAAACUGUGCAUCUAUCUUGCACUAAAACUUACAAUGUCUACAAAUGGACUGAACCAAGAUUCCAUAUGACACACGUCAUCUAGGAGUUCCAUUGGGUGCGUCCAAAUUGAUUUCUAAACAUAUGGUAUGUUCAUUGCAAAUCAUGCACCUAUAUUGCAUCAAGAUUAGCACUAUCUCCAAACAGAUCAAAUCGAGCUUCCACUUGAGCCUCUUCACUGAAGUACCAACAGGUGCUUCCAGAAUGGUUUCUUAGACUAUGGUGUGUUAGGCGCAAACCAUGCCCAUAUCUUGCACUGAAACUAACACUAUUUCUAAACAGAUCAAAGCAAGAGUCCAUAAGACACACGUCGUCAAGGAGUUCCACCGGGUGCAUCCAAAUUGAUUUCCAAGCAUAUGGUAUGUUCCAUGCAAACCGUGCACCUAUCUGGCAUCAAGAUUAGCACUAUCUCCAAAUAGACCAAACCGAGCAUCCACUUGAGCCCCUUCACCUAGGAGUACCAACAAGUGCGUCCAAAAUGGUUUCUUAGACUAUGGUGCAUUAGGUGCAAAUUGUGCACCUAUCUUGCAACGAAACUAACAAUGUCUCCAAAUGGACCGAAGCGAGAUUCCAUAUGACACACGUCAUCAAGGAGUUCCAUCGGGUGCAUCCAAAUUGAUUUCCAAGCAUAUGGUAUGUUCCAUGCAAACCAUGCACCUACCUUGCAUAAGGAUUAGCAGUAUCUCCAAACUGACCGAACCAAGCUUCCACUUGAGCCUCUUCACAAAGGAGUACCAAAUAGUGCAUCCAAAAUGGUUUCUUAUACUACGGUGCAUUAGGCGCAAACUAUGCACCUAUCUUACACUAAAACUUAAAAUGUCUACAAAUGGACCGAACCAAGAUUCCAUAUGACACACGUCAUCUAGGAGUUCCAUUGGGUGCGUCCAAAUUGAUUUCAAAGCAUGUGGUAUGUUCCUUGCAAAUCGUACACCUAUCUUUCAUCAAGAUUAGCACUAUCUCCAAAUAGAUCAAACCGAGCUUCCACUUGAGCCUCUUCACCGAAGUACCAACAGGUGCUUCCAAAAUGGUUUCUUAGACUAUGGUGCGUUAGGCGCACACCAUGCCCAUAUGUUGCACUGAAACUAACACUAUUUGUAAACAAACCAAAGCAAGAGUCCAUAAGACACACGUCAUCAAGGAGUUCCACCGGGUGCAUCCAAAUUGAUUUCCAAGCAUAUGGUAUGUUCCAUGCAAACCGUGCACCUAUCUUGCAUCAAGAUUAGCACUAUCUCCAAACAGACCGAACCGAGCUUCCACUUGAGCCUCUUCAUCUAGAAGUACAAACAGGUGCAUCAAAAAUGGUUUCUUAGACUAUGGUGCAUUAGGCACAAACUAUGCACCUAUCUUGCACCGAAACUAACAUUGUCUCCAAAUGGACCAAAGCGAGAUUCCAUAUGACACACGUCAUCUAGGAGUUCCAUUGGGUGCGUCCAAAUUGAUUUCUUAACAUAUGGUACGUUGCAUGCAAGCUGUGCAACUAUCUUGCAUCAAGAUUAGCACUAUAGCCGAACAGACCAAAUCGAGCCUCCACUUGAGGCUCUUCAACUACGACUACCAUCGAGUGCGUCUAAAAUGGUUUCUUAGCCUAUGGUGCAUUAGGCGUAAACCGUGCACAUAUCUUCUACCAAAACUAACACUGUCUCUAAACGAACCGAAGCAAGAUUCAUAUGACACACAUCAUCAAGGAGUUAUAUCAGGUGCGUCCUAAUUGAUUUCUGAGCAUAUCAUAUGUUCCAUGCAAACCGUGCAUCUAUCUUGCAUCAAGAUUAGCACUAUCUCCAAAUAGACCCAACCGAGCUGUCACUUGAGCCCCUUGACCUAGGAGUACCAUCGGGUGCGUCCAAAAUGGUUUCUUAUGCUAUGGUGCAUUAGGUGCAAACCGUGCACCUAUCUUGUACCAAAACUAACACUGUCUCUAAACGGACGGAAGUGAGAUUCCAUAUGACACCCAUCUAGGAGUUCCAUCUGGUGCGUCCAAAUUGAUUUCCGAGCAUAUGGUAUGUUCCAUGCAAAUCGUGCACUAUCUUGCAUCAAGAUUAGCACUAUCUCUAAAUAGACCAAACCGAGCUUCCACAUGAGCCUCUUCAUCUAGAAGUACAAACAGGUGCAUCAAAAAUGGUGUCUUAGACUAUGGUGCAUUAGGCGCAAACCAUGCCCAUAUCUUGCACUGAAACUAACACUAUUUCUAAACAGACCAAAGCGAGAUUCCAUAAGACACACGUCAUCAAGGAGUUCCAUCGGGUGCAUCCAAAUUGAUUUCCAAGCAAAUGGUAUGUUCCAUGCAAACCGUGCACCUAUCUUGCAUCAAGAUUAGCACUACUCCAAACAGACCAAACCGAGCUUCCACUUGAGCCUCUUCAUCUAGAAGUACAAACAGGUGCAUCAAAAAUGGUUUCUUAGACUAUGGUGCAUUAUGCACAAACUAUGCACCUAUAUUGUACCGAAACUAACAUUGUCUCCAAAUGGACCAAAGCGAGAUUCCAUAUGACACACGUCAUCUAGGAGUUCCAUUGGGUGCGUUCAAAUUGAUUUCUUAACAUAUGGUAUGUUCCAUCAAACUGUGCAACUAUCUUGCAUCAAGAUUAGCACUAUAUCCGAACAGACCAAAUCGAGCCUCCACUUGAGCCUCUUCAACUACGAGUACCAUCGGGUGCGUCUAAAAUGGUUUCUUAGCCAAUGGUGCAUUAGGCCUAAACCGUGCACAUAUCUUCUACCAAAACUAACACGGUCUCUAAACGAACCGAAGCACUAUCUCCAAACAGAUCAAACCGAGCUUCCACUUGAGCCUCUUCACCGAAGUACCAACAGGUGCUUCCAAAAUGGUGUCUUAGACUAUGGUGCAUUAGGCGCAAACCAUGCCCAUAUCUUGCACUGAAACUAACACUAUUUCUAAACAAACCAAAGCGAGAGUCCAUAAGACACACGUCAUCAAGGAGUUCCACCGGGUGCAUCCAAAUUGAUUUCCAAGCAUAUGGUAUGUUCCAUGCAAACCGUGCACCUAUCUGGCAUCAAGAUUAGCACUAUCUCCAAAUAGACCGAACCGAGCAUCCAAUUGAGCCCCUUCACCUAGGAGUACCAACAAGUGCGUCCAAAAUGGUUUCUUAGACUAUGGUGCAUUAGGUGCAAAUUGUGCACCUAUCUUGCACCGAAACUAACAAUGUCUCCAAAUGGACCGAAGUGAGAUUCCAUAUGACACACGUCAUCAAGGAGUUCCAUCGGGUGCAUCCAAAUUGUUUUCCAUGCAUAUGGUAUGUUCCAUGCAAACCAUGCACCUACCUUGCAUAAGGAUUAGCACUAUCUCCAAACUGACCGAAUCAGGCUUCCACUUGAGCCUCUUCACAAAGGAGUACCAAAUAGUGCGUCCAAAAUGGUUUCUUAGACUACGGUGCAUUAGGCGUAAACAGUGCACCUAUCUUACACUAAAACUUAAAAUGUCUACAAAUGGACCGAACCAAGAUUCCAUAUGACACACGUCAUCUAGGAGUUCCAUUGGGUGCGUCCAAAUUGAUUUCUGAGCAUAUGUUAUGUUCCAUGCAAAUCAUGCACCUAUCUUGCAUCAAGAUUAGCACUAUCUCCAAACAGAUCAAACCGAGCUUCCACUUGAGCCUCUUCACCGAAGUACCAACAGGUGCUUCCAAAAUGGUUUCUUAGACUAUGGUGCGUUAGGCGCAAACCAUGCCCAUAUCUUGCACUGAAACUAACACUAUUUCUAAACAAACCAAAGCAAUAGUCCAUAAGACACACGUCAUCAAGGAGUUCCACCGGGUGCAUCCAAAUUGAUUUCCAAGCAUAUGGUAUGUUCCAUGCAAACCGUGCACCUAUCUGGCAUCAAGAUUAGCACUAUCUCCAAAUAGACCGAACCGAGCAUCCACUUGAGCCCCUUCACCUAGGAGUACCAACAAGUGCGUCCAAAAUGGUUUCUUAGACUAUGGUGCAUUAGGUGCAAAUUGUGCACCUAUCUUGCACCGAAACUAACAAUGUCUCCAAAUGGACCGAAGUGAGCUUCCAUAUGACACACGUCAUGAAGGAGUUCCAUCGGGUGCAUCCAAAUUCAUUUCCAAGCAUAUGGUAUGUUCCAUGCAAACCAUGCACCUACCUUGCAUAAGGAUUAGCACUAUCUCCAAACUGACCGAACCAAGCUUCCACUUGUGCCUCUUCACAAAGGAGUACCAAAUAGUGCGUCCAAAAUUGUUUCUUAGACUGCGGUGCAUUAGGCGCAAACUGUGCACCUAUCUUACACUAAAACUUAAAAUGUCUACAAAUGGACCGAACCAAGAUUCCAUAUGACACACGUCAUCUAGGAGUUCCAUUGGGUGCGUCCAAAUUGAUUUCUAAGCAUAUGGUAUGUUCCUUGCAAAUCAUGCACCUAUCUUGCAUCAAGAUUAGCACUAUCUCCAAACAGAUCAAACCGAGCUUCCACUUGAGCCUCUUCACCGAAGUACCAACAGGUGCUUCGAAAAUGGUUUCUUAGACUAUGGUGCGUUAGGUGCAAACCAUGCCCAUAUCUUGCACUGAAACUAACACUAUUUCUAAAUAGACCAAAGCGAGAUUCCAUAAGACACACGUCGUCAAGGAGUUCCAUCGGGUGCAUCCAAAUUGAUUUCCAAGCAAAUGGUAUGUUCCAUGCAAACCGUGCACCUAUCUUGCAUCAAGAUUAGCACUACUCCAAACAGACCAAACCGAGCUUCCACUUGAGCCUCUUCAUCUAGAAGUACAAACAGGUGCAUCAAAAAUGGUUUCUUAGACUAUGGUGCAUUAGGCACAAACUAUGUACCUAUAUUGUACCGAAACUAACAUUGUCUCCAAAUGGACCAAAGCGAGAUUCCAUAUGACACACGUCAUCUAGGAGAUCCAUUGGGUGCGUUCAAAUUGAUUUCUUAACAUAUGGUAUGUUCCAUCAAACUGUGCAACUAUCUUGCAACAAGAUUAGCACUAUAUCCGAACAGACCAAAUCGAGCCUCCACUUGAGCCUCUUCAACUACGAGUACCAUCGGGUGCGUCUAAAAUGGUUUCUUAGCCUAUGGUGCAUUAGGCCUAAACCGUGCACAUAUCUUCUACCAAAACUAACACGGUCUCUAAACGAACCGAAGCAAGAUUCCAUAUGACACACAUCAUCAAGGACUUAUAUCAGGUGCGUCCUAAUUGAUUUCUGAGCAUAUCAUAUGUUCCAUGCAAACCGUGCAUCUAUCUUGCAUCAAGAUUAGCACUAUCUCCAAACAGACCAAACCGAGCUGUCACUUGAGCCCCUUGACCUAGGAGUACCAUCGGGUGCGUCCAAAAUGGUUUCUUAUUCUAUGGUGCAUUAGGUGCAAACCGUGCACCUAUCUUGCACCAAAACUAACACUGUAUCUAAACGGACGGAAGUGAGAUUCUGUAUGACACCCAUCUAGGAGUUCCAUUUGGUGUGUCCAAAUUGAUUUCUGAGCAUAUGGUAUGUUCCAUGCAAAUCGUGCACCUAUCUUGUAUCAAGAUUAGCACUAUCUCUAAACAGGACGAACCGAGCUUUCACUUGAGCCUUUUACCUAGGAGUACCAUCGGGUGCGUCCAAAAUGGUUUCUUAGCCUAGGCUGCAUUAUGUGCAAACCUUGCACCUAUCUUGCACUGAAACUAACACUAUCUCCAAACAGACCGAAGCAAGAUUUCGUAUGACACACGUCAUCUAGGAGUUCCAUCAUGUGCGUCUAGAUUGAGUUUCAAGUAUUUGGUAUGUUCCAUGUAAACCGUGCACCUAUCUUGCAUCAAGGUUAGCACUAUCUCCAAACAGACCGAACCGAGCAUCCACUUGAGCCCCUUCACCUAGGAGUACCAACAAGUGCGUCCAAAAUGGUUUCUUAGACUAUAGUGCAUUAGGUGCAAACUGUGCACCUAUCUUGCACCGAAACUAACAAUGUCUCCAAAUGGACCGAAGCGAGAUUCCAUAUGACACACGUCAUCAAGGAGUUCCAUCGGGUGCAUCCAAAUUGAUUUUCAAGCAUAUGGUAUGUUCCAUGCAAACCAUGCACCUACCUUGCAUAAGGAUUAGCACUAUCUCCAAACUGACCGAACCUAGCUUCCACUUGAGCCUCUUCACCCAGGAGUACCAAAUAGUGCGUCCAAAAUGGUUUCUUAGACUACGGUGCAUUAGGCGCAAACUGUGCACCUAUCUUGCACUAAAACUUACAAUGUCUACGAAUGGACCGAAGCAAGAUUCCAUAUGACACACGUCAUCUAGGAGUUCCAUUGGAUGCGUCCAAAUUGAUUUCUAAGCAUAUGGUGUGUUCCUUGCAAAUCAUGCACCUAUAUUGCAUAAAGAUUAGCACAAUCUCCAAACAGAUCAAACCGAGCUUCCACUUGAGCCUCUUCACCGAAGUACCAACAGGUGCUUCCAAAAUGGUUUCUUAGACUAUGGUGCGUUAGGCGCAAACCAUGCCCAUAUCUUGCACUGAAACUAACACUAUUUCUAAACAGACCAAAGCGAGAUUCCAUAAGACACACGUCAUCAAGGAGUUCCAUCGGGUGCAUCCAAAUUGAUUUCCAAGCAAAUGGUAUGUUCCAUGCAAACCGUGCACCUAUCUUGCAUCAAGAUUAGCACUACUGCAAACAGACCAAACCGAGCUUCCACUUGAGCCUCUUCAUCUAGAAGUACAAACAGGUGCAUCAAAAAUGGUUUCUUAGACUAUGGUGCAUUAGGCACAAACUAUGCACCUAUAUUGUACCGAAACUAACAUUGUCUCCAAAUGGACCAAAGCGAGAUUCCAUAUGACACACGUCAUCUAGGAGUUCCAUUGGGUGCGUUCAAAUUGAUUUCUUAACAUAUGGUAUGUUCCGUCAAACUGUGCAACUAUCUUGCAUCAAGAUUAGCACUAUAUCCGAACAGACCAAAUCGAGCCUCCACUUGAGCCUCUUCAACUACGAGUACCAUCGGGUGCGUCUAAAAUGGUUUCUUAGCCUAUGGUGCAUUAGGCCUAAACCGUGCACAUAUCUUCUACCAAAACUAACACGGUCUCUAAACGAACCGAAGCAAGAUUCCAUAUGACACACAUCAUCAAGGACUUAUAUUAGGUGCGUCCUAAUUGAUUUCUGAGCAUAUCAUAUGUUCCAUGCAAACCGUGCAUCUAUCUUGCAUCAAGAUUAGCACUAUCUCCAAACAGACCAAACCGAGCUGUCACUUGAGCCCCUUGACCUAGGAGUACCACCGGGUGCGUCCAAAAUGGUUUCUUAUUCUAUGGUGCAUUAGGUGCAAACCGUGCACCUAUCUUGCACCAAAACUAACACUGUAUCUAAACGGACGGAAGUGAGAUUCCAUAUGACACCCAUCUAGGAGUUCCAUCUGGUGUGUCCAAAUUGAUUUCUGAGCAUAUGGUAUGUUCCAUGCAAAUCGUGCACCUAUCUUGUAUCAAGAUUAGCACUAUCUCUAAACAGGACGAACCGAGCUUUCACUUGAGCCUUUUACCUAGGGGUACCAUCGGGUGCGUCCAAAAUGGUUUCUGAGCCUAGGCUGCAUUAUGUGCAAACCUUGCACCUAUCUUGCACUGAAACUAACACUGUCACCAAACAGACCGAAGCAAGAUUUCGUACGACACACGUCAUCUAGGAGUUCCAUCAUGUGCGUCCAGAUUGAUUUUCAAGUAUUUUGUAUGUUCAAUGCAAACCGUGCACCUAUCUUGCAUCAAGAUUAGCACUAUCUCCGAACAUACCGAACCGAGCAUCCACUUGAGCCCCUUCACCUAAGAGUACCAACAACUGCGUCCAAAAUGGUUUCUUAGACUAUGGUGCAUUAGGUGCAAACUGUACACCUAUCUUGCACCGAAACUAACAAUGUCUCCAAAUGGACCGAAGCGAGAUUCCAUAUGACACACGUCAUCAAGGAGUUCCAUCGGGUGCAUCCAAAUUGAUUUUCAAGCAAAUGGUAUGUUCCAUGCAAACCAUGCACCUACCUUGCAUAAGGAUUAGCACUAUCUCCAAACUGACCGAACCUAGCUUCCACUUGAGCCUCUUCACCCAGGAGUACCAAAUAGUGCGUCCAAAAUGGUUUCUUAGACUACGGUGCAUUAGGCGCAAACUGUGCACCUAUCUUGCACUAAAACAUACAAUGUCUACGAAUGGACCGAAGCAAGAUUCCAUAUGACACACGUCAUCUAGGAGUUCCAUUGGGUGCGUCCAAAUUGAUUUCUAAGCAUAGUAUGUUCCUUGCAAAUCAUGCACCUAUCUUGCAUCAAGAUUAGCACAAUCUCCAAACAGAUCAAACCGAGCUUCCACUUGAGCCUCUUCACCGAAGUACCAACAGGUGCUUCCAAAAUGGUUUCUUAGACUAUGGUGCGUUAGGCGCAAACCAUGCCCAUAUCUUGCACUGAAACUAACACUAUUUCUAAACAGACCAAAGCGAGAGUCCAUAAGACACACGUCAUCAAGGAGUUCCAUCGGGUGCAUCCAAAUUGAUUUCCAAGCAAAUGGUAUGUUCCAUGCAAACCGUGCACCUAUCUGGCAUCAAGAUUAGCACUAUCUCCAAAUAGACUGAAGCGAGCAUCCACUUGAGCCCCUUCACCUAGGAGUACCAACAAGUGCGUCCAAAAUGGUUUCUUAGACUAUGGUGCAUUAGGUGCAAAUUGUGCACCUAUCUUGCACCGAAACUAACAAUGUCUCCAAAUGGACGGAAGCGAGAUUCCAUAUGACACACGUCAUCAAGUGGUUCCAUCGGGUGCAUCCAAAUUGAUUUCCAAGCAUAUGGUAUGUUCCAUGCAAACCAUGCACCUACCUUGCAUAAGGAUUAGCACUGUCUCCAAACUGACCGAACCGAGCUUCCACUUGAGGCUCUUCGUCUAAAAGUACAAACAGGUGCAUCAAAAAUGGUUUCUUAGACUAUGGUGCAUUAGGCACAAACUAUGGACCUAUCUUGCACCGAAACUAACAUUGUCUCCAAAUAGACCAAAGCGAGAUUCCAUAUGACACACGUCAUCAAGGAGUUCCAUUGGGUGCGUCCAAAUUGAUUUCUUAACAUAUGGUACGUUCCAUGCAAACUGUGCAACUGUCUUGCAUCAAGAUUAGCACUAUAGCCGAACAGACCAAAUCGAGCCUCCACUUGAGCCUCUUCAACUACAACUACCAUCGAGUGCGUCUAAAAUGGUGUCUUAGACUAUGGUGCAUUUGGCGCAAACCAUGCCCAUAUCUUGCACUGAAACUAACACUAUUUCUAAACAGACCAAAGCGAGAUUCCAUAAGACACACGUCAUCAAGGAGUUCCAUCGGGUGCAUCCAAAUUGAUUUCCAAGCAAAUGGUAUGUUCCAUGCAAACCGUGCACCUAUCUUGCAUCAAGAUUAGCACUACUCCAAACAGACCAAACCGAGCUUCCACUUGAGCCUCUUCAUCUAGAAGUACAAACAGGUGCAUCAAAAAUGGUUUCUUAGACUAUGGUGCAUUAGGCACAAACUAUGCACCUAUAUUGUACCGAAACUAACAUUGUCUCCAAAUGGACCAAAGCGAGAUUCCAUAUGACACACGUCAUCUAGGAGUUCCAUUGGGUGCGUUCAAAUUGAUUUCUUAACAUAUGGUAUGUUCCAUCAAACUGUGUAACUAUCUUGCAUCAAGAUUAGCACUAUAUCCGAACAGACCAAAUCGAGCCUCCACUUGAGCCUCUUCAACUACGAGUACCAUCGGGUGUGUCUAAAAUGGUUUCUUAGCCUAUGGUGCAUUAGGCGUAAACCGUGCACAUAUCUUCUACCAAAACUAACACGGUCUCUAAACGAACCGAAGCAAGAUUCCAUAUGACACACAUCAUCAAGGACUUAUAUUAGGUGCGUCCUAAUUGAUUUUUGAGCAUAUCAUAUGUUCCAUGCAAACCGUGCAUCUAUCUUGCAUCAAGACUAGCACUAUCUCCAAACAGACCAAACCGAGCUGUCACUUGAGCCCCUUGACCUAGGAGUACCAUCGGGUGCGUCCAAAAUGGUUUCUUAUUCUAUGGUGCAUUAGGUGCAAACCGUGCACCUAUCUUGCACCAAAACUAACACUGUAUCUAAACGGACGGAAGUGAGAUUCCAUAUGACACCCAUCUAGGAGUUCCAUCUGGUGUGUCCAAAUUGAUUUCUGAGCAUAUGGUAUGUUCCAUGCAAAUCGUGCACCUAUCUUGUAUCAAGAUUAGCACUAUCUCUAAACAGGACGAACCGAGCUUUCACUUGAGCCUUUUACCUAGGGGUACCAUCGGGUGCGUCCAAAAUGGUUUCUGAGCCUAGGCUGCAUUAUGUGCAAACCUUGCACCUAUCUUGCACUGAAACUAACACUGUCUCCAAACAGACCGAAGCAAGAUUUCGUACGACACACGUCAUCUAGGAGUUCCAUCAUGUGCGUCCAGAUUGAUUUUCAAGUAUUUUGUAUGUUCAAUGCAAACCGUGCACCUAUCUUGCAUCAAGAUUAGCACUAUCUCCGAACAGACCGAACCGAGCAUCCACUUGAGCCCCUUCACCUAGGAGUACCAACAACUGCGUCCAAAAUGGUUUCUUAGACUAUGGUGCAUUAGGUGCAAACUGUGCACCUAUCUUGCACCGAAACUAACAAUGUCUCCAAAUGGACCGAAGCGAGAUUCCAUAUGACACACGUCAUCAAGGAGUUCCAUCGGGUGCAUACAAAUUGAUUUUCAAGCAUAUGGUAUGUUCCAUGCAAACCAUGCACCUACCUUGCAUAAGGAUUAGCACUAUCUCCAAACUGACCGAACCUAGCUUCAACUUGAGCCUCUUCACCCAGGAGUACUAAAUAGUGCGUCCAAAAUGGUUUCUUAGACUACGGUGCAUUAGGCGCAAACUGUGCACCUAUCUUGCACUAAAACUUACAAUGUCUACGAAUGGACCGAAGCAAGAUUCUAUAUGACACACGUCAUCUAGGAGUUCCAUUGGGUGCGUCCAAAUUGAUUUCUAAGCAUAUGGUAUGUUCCUUGCAAAUCAUGCACCUAUCUUGCAUCAAGAUUAGCACUAUCUCCAAACAGAUCAAACCGAGCUUCCACUUGAGCCUCUUCACCGAAGUACCAACAUGUGCUUCCAAAAUGGUUUCUUAGACUAUGGUGCAUUAGGCGCAAACCAUGGCCAUAUCUUACACUAAAACUAACACUAUUUCUAAACAGACCAAAGCGAGAGUCCAUAAGACACACGUCAUCAAGGAGUUCCACCGGGUGCAUCCAAAUUGAUUUCCAAGCAUAUGGUAUGUUCCAUGCAAACCGUGCACCUAUCUGGCAUCAAGAUUAGCACUAUCUCCAAAUAGACCGAAGCGAGCAUCCACUUGAGCCCCUUCACCUAGGAGUACCAACAAGUGCGUCCAAAAUGGUUUCUUAGACUAUGGUGCAUUAGGUGCAAAUUGUGCACCUAUCUUGCACCGAAACUAACAAUGUCUCCAAAUGGACGGAAGCGAGAUUCCAUAUGACACACGUCAUCAAGUAGUUCCAUCGGGUGCAUCCAAAUUGAUUUCCAAGCAUAUGGUAUGUUCCAUGCAAACCAUGCACCUACCUUGCAUAAGGAUUAGCACUGUCUCCAAACUGACCGAACCGAGCUUCCACUUGAGGCUCUUCAUCUAAAAGUACAAACAGGUGCAUCAAAAAUGGUUUCUUAGACUAUGGUGCAUUAGGCACAAACUAUGGACCUAUCUUGCACUGAAACUAACAUUGUCUCCAAAUAGACUAAAGCGAGAUUCCAUAUGACACACGUCAUCAAGGAGUUCCAUUGGGUGCGUCCAAAUUGAUUUCUUAACAUAUGGUACGUUCCAUGCAAACUGUGCAACUGUCUUGCAUCAAGAUUAGCACUAUAGCCGAACAGACCAAAUCGAGCCUCCACUUGAGCCUCUUCAACUACAACUACCAUCGAGUGCGUCUAAAAUGGUGUCUUAGACUAUGGUGCAUUUUGCGCAAACCAUGCCCAUAUCUUGCACUGAAACUAACACUAUUUCUAAACAGACCAAAGCGAGAUUCCAUAAGACACACGUCAUCAAGGAGUUCCAUCGGGUGCAUCCAAAUUGAUUUCCAAGCAAAUGGUAUGUUCAAUGCAAACCGUGCACCUAUCUUGCAUCAAGAUUAGCACUACUCCAAACAGACCAAACCGAGCUUCCACUUGAGCCUCUUCAUCUAGAAGUACAAACAGGUGCAUCAAAAAUGGUUUCUUAGACUAUGGUGCAUUAGGCACAAACUAUGCACCUAUUGAUGUAUCAACACCAGCGAUACAUCCUCUCCGACACAACCUAUAGCUGGUCCUCUUACUCGUGCUCGUGUUCGUCAACUUAAUAAUCAAGUGAGUUCCUUGAUAAGCUCGUGUCCAUCUUGUUUAGACAAUGGAAACGCGUGCACUCUUGUUUUGAUUAGGAACCAAGGAGAAGACCGAAAGGGAGAAGGACUCACGCUCGCUGGACUCGGACAGCAGCAAAGCGCUAACUUGUGACCGUUACCACGGUUGCAUACGGAUUCGGAUUCAGGCGCUUCAGGAAUAAGAUCAAUUUGGUGCUCAAUCCCGCGUAGUGGAGGCAGCCCCACUGGUACCUCACUUGGAAACACAUCAGAAUACUCUUGCAAAAUGUUAGCAACAGCAGGGGGCAAAGAACAUUGCAUAUCCUCAAUUGAAAUCAAAGCAUCCUUGCAUAUCAAAGCAUAAGCAACAGAAGUGGAUGCAUUGAACUCAUUAAUAUCUGAUUUGGUAGCUAUCAUACAACGUCCUUUCAGUUUUAUCUCAUCUUUGUUACCAAUUACAGAUUUAUCAUUUUUAUUGCUCUCGCUCUUUGCUUUAGUAGCCCUAGCAACAUCAGUUUGCAUAAUAGUUUCAGGGGACAUAGGAUGCAACACAAUUUUGCGAUCAUGGUAUAGAAAAGAAUACUGAUUUGAUCUACCAUGAUGCAUAGAAUCUCUAUCAAAUUGCCAAGGUCUACCUAGCAGAAUGUUACAAGCUUGCCUAGGCACAACAUCACAUUCAACAAUAUCUUUGUAGGAUCCGAUGGAAAAAUUAAUUCUCACAAGUCUAGUUACCUUUGCCUUACCACUGUUGUUCAGCCAUUGGAUGUAGUAGGGAUGCGGGUGUGGUUUGGUGUUGAGGGCAAGCUUCUGCACCAUAUCGCUGCUUGCCAAGUUGUUGCAGCUACCUCCAUCAAUGAUCAUGCGACAAGAACGCUCUUUGAUGACACACUUUAUUUGGAAUAAAAUGUGUCGCUGAUUUUGCUCCGCAAUCUCCAUUUGUGCACUAAGCACUCGCUGCACGAUCAAGCUCUCAUAGUGGUCCGCUUCACCUGCAUUAAUAUGUUCUUCUAUUUGAUCUUCAUUACCUGCAUGGUCAGUCGCAAGCAGUGCAAAUGUAUCCUCAUCAAAAUCAUUAGCAGAUGAGUACUCACCAUCAUCCCUGACAAUCAUAACUCGCUUGUUUGGACAGUCACGCAUCAUGUGCCCAUAUCCCUUGCACCGGUGACAUUGUAUGUUGCUUGUUCUACCCGUCGAUGCCACGGAUGAAGUACUCGCAGCAGGCUUUUGCAUCGUCUUCGCAACUGAAUUGGUGGGGGCAGCUCGAGUCUUGUCACUAGAUGAUGGAGUAGAAAUACGUGUAGAUGGAGUUGAAGCCAUGCGUUGCUGCCAUGAAUUAGCCUUCCCUGCAGAAAUAUUACUCCUUGCGCUAGCACGUCGUCCCUGCACUUCCCUUUCAGCUUUACAAGCAAGAUGAAACAAACGGGUUACAUUAUUGUAUUCUUUGUAAGCGAGGAUGUCCUGAAUUUCCCGAUUUAACCCACCCAAAAAUCUAGCCAUAGCCGGUUCCUCAUCUUCCUCUAGGUUACAACGCAACAUACCCGUUUGUAAUUCCUGAUAAUAUUCUUCUACACUUUUAGCAUCUUGUCUUAAUUGCUGCAACUUAUUUAUCAUAUCACGCGCAUAGUAAGAUGGAACAAAUCUAGCUCUCAUGGCCCUUUUCAGCGCAUCCCAAGUUCUAGGUAAGUUAUUAGGAUUUUUCUUUCCAUAUUCUAUCCACCAAACAGAAGCAAAAUCUGUAAACUCACUAGUAGCAGCCCUAACACGUGUAGUCUCAGGAAAUUCAUGACAUGCAAACUUUUGAUCAACAACAAUCUCCCAAGUGAUGUAAGCAUUAGGGUCAUAUUUACCAUCAAAAGGAGGUAUCUUAAAUUUAAUCUUACUAAAAGCAUCAUCAUUAUUGUGUACCUCGCGUCGGCGGUUGCCACCCAUACCUCUACGGUUGUGACGAAGGCGACGUCGAUCACGAGUGUCUUGAUCAUCAUGUUCAAUAUCACCAGUGUAGUCAUCUUCAUGACUACCGUGCUCUCGAUCUCCCUCCUUUUCUUCUUUAUGCUUCUCUUUAUCUUCGGUGUGGAAAUCAUCAAAUCGCCUUAGGAGAGCAGCAAGGCUUUUGUCCACACUAGCAACGGAUUCCUCCAAACUUGUGAGCUUGUUGUUUGUGGCAAUCUACGUAGCCUCCAACUGCCCUAGCUUUUUAUUUGUCACCUGCAAGUCGUUAUCAAGUCCCUCUGUGUGCAGCUUCACUUUCCUUUCAAAAUGUUGUAUGAUGCCCUUAGUGCGAGGUGUAUGUGGUGUUUCGUUACCAUCAUCUGCCCCUGGCAUGGUUCAAAGACAAAGACAACAAAAAGGCAAGUGAAGAAAUAAAAGCCCUACAACUACUAGGAUGUAGCUACAACAAGUCGCUCACACUCAACCUGUAACACAAGUUCUUACCAAUUCUUACCUUGCUUGACAGGAGGGGUCAUCUACCAACAAGUGUACAGCAAUGGACAAAGUGUAUCGGUGCUGCAGCACAAGACCUGUCAAGCUGUAGAGUAUGUGGAGCUAUAGGUGGGCUGAAACAAGGAACGAACUAGCACCACGUUAGUUAUAAAAGCGAGCUGAAUAAGCGUUUGACGAUGGUACAGUGCUGGUCCUAGGCUAGACCGUGCUAGAGACGCGAGCCUGGACACAAAGGAAAACCACAGCACACCCCCGAAAACAAGGUGGAACAAACCUAAAAUCAAUAUGAAAAACAGCCCCUUUUUUCUUUUGAAUCUUUUCUCUUUUCUUUUUUUAUUUAUUUAUUUUUUUGGGCAACCUCAAAAACUGAUUAUAUGAACAAAAGAAUACAAAGGAGCAAUUUGCUACACACACUUUUUUCCGAAAGUACAGGGGUAUUCCGGUAAAAAGAAUCUCCCUCUCUCUAGAGUAAGGCCGAACAAGUAUAUUUAUCUUUCUUUUUUUAUCACGUUGGUGGAACUCAGAUUGGAAAUCUACUCGAUCCGGACCAAGACCACAGUUCAAUUCGGACUUCGCAAUAGAUUCGACAGAGAGAAGAUAUGGUAAUACUCGGCUGUGUAUAGAUGGUGACUGUUGAUAUUUGGGAACGCAAUAAGGAAUUGAUCCGCAAGCGCACGGAUAUCGGUGAGCACUUCACCCGGGAGGUUAUCCAGAGUAUCGUAUUUAUUUUUUUACCACUAGGAGAAAGAGUGCAUCUGACUAACCGGUCUAUUACUACUAACCUUUAGGCACAAAAAAUGUCUUUCGAUGUGAGUGAUAAAUAGAGAAGACUGCAACCGUAGUCUCCUUCUAACCUUGGUAAGGAUGAUCUACUGUUCUAAUGGGGAGGCUAACGGAAUCUAGACACCACAAAGGAUGUUCGACCCGCACCUAUAAACCCUACCCUUCCUGCUAACGAGAUGUGAUCUACAAAGGUAGCUCGGAAUUGUCACGUUCCUCACUACUACCACGGUCCAGCUAGUCAGGGAAUAUCUAUGAGUACCCCAGCCUAAACACCACGUUUACGCCAGCAAUGAUUACUCUAAACUCUACGCGAAGAGAUUAAAGUAAACUCAUAAACCAUAAGAACAAUAAAACAAGAACUUACUAGAAUUUAGAAGUCAAAUUACUGAAGAAUCCUAGGAGCAAGCUUCGGGUUAGGAAAACUUGAUCCCGCAGGUACAAGCUUGGAGUAGACACCGACAGGCCGGGCUUCCUCCACUCUACACCUCCACUCUAUCUCUCUCAAUCUAGUAGAAACUAGAAGAUCUAUUUCUACCUUACAUUGAUUGCUAAGCCUAAAAAGAAAUAUUAAUUAGAGAAGAGGUUUUCCUUCGAGGGCACCCCUCAGUCUCUAUGAUAAUUUCUUCAUGUCUUCUCCAGGGGCCAGGGGGGCCUUGCUUAUAUAGUCCUCCCCUUCUAUGCGUUUUUGGGUCGAUAGCCGAGGUGGUACUAUGUUUUUCUUGAUCCAAUAGGUCGGUGGAAUAUCUCGAACGAAAGAGUCCUGAUUUGGCUCCAGCAGGGGGGCGGGCGCCCAGGCUACCAGGGCGGGCGCCCUGGGCCUGGCCCAGUUUUGCCUCCGCUUCGGUCUCGUGGCUUCUGGAGUCUUCUAGAUGAUGUAAAAUUGCGCGGUGCGUUGAUAUCUCUAUGUAAUCCCGACAUGUAGGCCUUUCUUCCUUAUUUCCUGAUAACCCCCUGCAGAAACAGAUAAACAACAAAACUCGUGGAAUUCUGUUAGAUCAAACCCUAAUUCUAGGUGUUGUUUGCAUAUUGGUCCUUUCUCUUGUUUAUUUGAUAAUUAAAAUUGAUACUUAAGAACCGUCAACAAAUACCCCCAUACUUAGGCUUUUACUCGUCCUCGAGAAAAGGAUGGUUAAGAAAAAUAUCUGGGGUAAAACAUUUAAAACAUUCUCUUUAUAUAAUUGCAGGGUGUUAAAAUUCCACUAUGUACCAUAGUCAGGGAUGUUUAUGGUUAAGAGUAAAGAUCCUUUCUUCUCAAUCCUGUCACUUGGAGUUUUUGUUAUAUUUUUGAAAGAAAGUUAGCAUACCUUUUUAUCCUGAUUGGUUCUCUCAGAUCACUCAUUAUCUUUUAUAUAUAUAUCUCACUGAGGUUGUUUUAUUUUUGCAAAAAUUCUCAAGCAUUCUUACUUUGCAUUUAUUGCCUGAUCAAAACAGGAUCCGAGGAGGGGAAUGUCAUACUCUUAGAUCAAAGACUUUGGAAAUUAAAAUCUUUGUCAACUCUUGCUGGCAUAUUGCUUAUUAGAGGGACCAUGGGCUAUCAUUUUCAUUUCAUCAUUUUUUUUCAUUUUUUUUGAGUGGAUACCGAGGUACCCCUAAUUCUACUGCCGGACACUUGUCCAUUUUUUCUGCGAGGUUGUCGAGCACUUGCUCCUUUUUAUUUCCUCAAAAUAUUUUUAUUUUUGCAUAGCCCAUGCCUCUAAUGCAAUAAUACUUCGGAAGAGUGAAUCUUUCUGAAAUAAUGUCUUGAUCUUAGGAGCAUGAUAAAUCUCUCAACAAGGGUCUAACUCAUUUUGAACAAACUCAAUACAGAGUAGAUAGCUUUAUAAUCAUCAUUAAUAUUUUUAUUUUUAUCAGGCAUAUAAAACACUGAGGAUGGUAGCUAGAAUUUUGAAUAUUUUGAAAUAAAUUCUCCAAGCAACAAUGAUAUCAAGAAUAAGAAACUCAUACUCUACCAUCACAUAUUCCAUAUUGACUUGAGUAACACAGGGUUUUAAAAUGAUUUUAUAAUAAUUGCAAGUUUUCAGGAAAUAUCACAGAUUGAGAUUAAUCAUGAUUAGAAAUAUUUUAAUCUUUUUAUUUUAUCAUGUCGGAAACAGUAAUCUGCAUAAUCCAAAAUAAAUGUAUGUAUGAAGUAAAGUGUGCAGAGUGUGUACCUGAAUCGUGGAGUGGUGUAGUCGGAGUGUGUUUGGCAUGUUAAGGGAUCUCCCCCAUACUUGUUUUCUGCUUUCUUGCACAAAAAUAAAGUAGAGACACACAAGACAUAAUAAUAAUAGUAAUACUCUUUAUUGAUCUUGAGGCAUUUAGUACAAAAGACUGAUAACAAACUGAUAGCAAACUGAUAAUAAUAGUAAACUGAUGAUAAUAGUAAACCUAAACCGAAUUUAAAGAUAAAUGACUAAGAUGCAUUGCCUCAAGGUCUAAUCUAGAUAACUUAACGGCGCUCUCAUUCCUUGAUCUUCUUGUUGGCACUGGCAAGAUCCUGCCUAAGGCCUAAUAUAACGGUGUUGUGGUUAGAGAGCUGCCUAGUGAGGGAAUUAAUCGAGGAUUGGAGGUCUAUGAUAACUCUAUCUAGCCUGCGAACUUCCUCAUCAAUAUCCAUUAUAGUCUUGCGAUGCUUGGGAGGUGUCUCAAAAGCAUUGAGAGAGUGCUUCGGGGCUGCCUUUGGAGGGAUGAAACGGACUUUGGAUGCUCUAAUCCCUUCAAAGUAAGGCCUUUCCUCCUCCGUAGUGUAGCGAACGCUGCUGAUCUCGCCGCUCCGGUUGGUCUUGACUCCAACGACCCUCUCAUUGGGUCUAGGUGGAAGGAUCCUUGUACCGAUUGGUACCUUGAUAGUGGUCUUCGUCUUGGAUGAUGGUCCUUUGAGGAGUAGGGGUUGUGGUGGUGCGGUGAGAACUGGUUGAGCAUGGUAGGAUUGGGCGGAGCUGCGUUGGCGUAAUGGCAUGGCUUCUAGUUGUCGCUCUGUGUUGGCCGGGACGAGAGCACGGGCAUCGAGUUCUUCCACUGGCUCCAUGUUGAGGUUGAAGGGGACGACUUCCCAAUCAUCGUGGUACUUCUCGGCCAUUGGAGUAGCAAGGAACUAAUAAAAUUUUAAUUGAAGUAGAGCUAAUUAAGCUCUAAUUGAAGGAGAGAAAGCUUGGUGGCUUGGUGUCUGAAAACUGAGGUCAGGGGUCUGUUUAUAUAGGGGUCAAAAGGAUGCCUCUAUGGGUUGUUCGGGUUGCUCCCGUCGAUGUGCGUGCGAAACUUUCCAUCCGAGGGAUUAUUUGGAUCACCCUAAGUGCAUUUUCCAUAUCAGAGAAAGUCGGGACCGAGGGGGAACAGGGGCUGGGCGCCCGCCCACUUGACCUGGGCGCCCGCCCUCUCUCUGGCUCCUCUGUGGACCCACUUUUCCGAGCGCGUUUCUAGAUGCGAAAUUAUUUAGAAAAAUAUAUAUAUGCCCCAAAACCAUCAGACCAAAAGUGUCGGGCUCUAAUUCUCCAUGGGAAGGUAAAAAUGGACUACGUCUAUUUCUUCAAAUUCCUCAUUGGGCUCUAAAAAUAAUUUAAGACGUUGACCAUUUACCUUGAAUAACGUACCUUCGCUAUUUUGAAGUGUGAUAGCUCCGUGGGAUGAUGAAUUGAUUACCUUGAAUGGUCCUUCCCAUUUGCUCCGGAGUUUUCCAUGCCCGAAAAGCUUUACCCUGGAAUUAAAAAGUAAUACCUUAUCUCCGGGUGUGAACUCCUUCUUCUUGAUUCUCUUGUCAUGCCACCUCUUGACUCUUUCUUUGUAGAUUUUUGAAUUGUGAUAUGCCUUCUCUCGCCAUUCUUCCAAUUCUGAUAGUUGCAUUCUUCUAUAAUCUCCAACAACAUCUAGGUCCAUAUUCCAUCUCUUUAUGGCCCAGUGUGCUUUGAACUCUAGUUCAACAGGUAGAUGGCAAGUCUUCCCGUACACCAAUUGGUAUGGAGACAAUCCAAUUGGGGUCUUGUAUGCUGUCCGGUAUGCCCAGAGUGCAUCGGGUAACUUGUCUUUCCACGCCGUUCCCAUUUCAUUUACUGUCUUCUGAAGAAUAUUCUUGAUUUGUUUGUUGGAAGUCUCUGCUUGGCCACUUGUCUGAGGAUGAUAGGGGGUAGCGACGUUGUGACGGAUUCCAUGUCUUGAUAGAUAUUGCUUGAAGCGUUUGUCGAUGAAGUGUGCUCCUCCAUCACUUAUCACUACUCUGGGAACUCCAAAUCUUGGAAAUAUAAUUUCUUCAAACAUCCUCUUUGAACUGACGUUGUCGGCAUGCUUGCAAGGUAGUGCUUCUACCCACUUGGAGACAUAGUCAACCGCCACCAAAAUGUACUCACACUUCUUUGAUGGAGGAAAUGGACCCAUGUAGUCUAUUCCCCAGACAUCAAAGAGCUCAAUCUAAAGGUUGUUGGUGAGUGGCAUUGCAUCCCUUGUAUUUAUGUUUCCGUGCCUUUGACAUGGCCCACAUCUCCUGAUAUAUUGCUUCGUGUCUUCAUACAUUGUAGGCCAGUAGAAUCCACACUGCCAGAUCUUUGAAUGUGUACGGAAUGCUCCAUAGUGACCUCCAUAUGGUGAUGAAUGACAUCUGUCGAUGAUCUUCCAUCCUUCCUCAGUGGUCACACAUCUUCUGAGUAAGCCAUCAGAGCAUACUCGGAAGAGGUAUGGCUCAUCCCAUAUAUGUGAACGACUUUCUUGAAUAAGCUUCUUCUUGUUUGCUCCUGGUGGUACAUACCCUGAAACCAUAAAAUUAACAAUAUCUGCAUACCAAGGGUCAGACCUGUUAAUCCCGUAGAGCAUGUCGUCCCGGAGUGAAUCAUUGAUUGGGGUUUCCUGUGGACUCUUAAAAUACAUUCUAGACAGGUGAUCAGCAACAGAAUUUUCUACUCCCUUUUUAUCUUUUAUUUCUAAGUCAAAUUCUUGGAGUAAUAAAAUCCAUCUAAUCAGGCGAGGUUUAGCAUCUUUUUUAGUGAGCAAAUAUUUUAGUGCAGCAUGAUCAGUGUAAACAAUUAUUUUAGCUCCAACUAAAGAAGAUCUAAAUUUAUCAAUGGCAAAGACAACAGCCAGAAGCUCUUUUUCAGUGGUUGCAUAAUUAAGUUGAGCUCCUGUCAAAGUUUUACUGGCAUAAGCAAUUGCAUGAUGCUUCUUAUCUUUAGUUUGUCCCAAUACUGCCCCCACAGCAUAAUCACUAGCAUCACACAUAAUUUCAAAAGGUAACGACCAAUCAGGGGGUUGAAUGAUUGGUUCAGAGAUGAGUGCUUUCUUUAAUAAAUUGAAAGAUGUUAGACAUGCAUCAUCAAAUUCGAAAGGAGCAUCCUUGGCUAGCAAAAGAGUAAGUGGUCUAGCAAUGAAUGAAAAAUCUUUUAUGAAUCUACGAUAAAAACCAGCAUGGCCAAGAAAGCUUCGAAUUCCUUUUAUAUUCACAGGUGGAGGUAGUUGUUCAAUUACUUCAAUUUUAGCUUUGUCUACCUCAAUUCCUCUUUCAGACACUAAGUGUCCCAGCACUAUUCCUUCCCUAACCAUAAAAUGACAUUUUUCCCAAUUAAGGAUUAAGUGCUUUUCUUCACAUCUUUGCAAAACCUUAUCUAAGUUUUCAAGACAACUAUCAAAAGUUUUUCCAUAAACAGAGAAAUCAUCCAUGAAAACUUCCAUAAUCUCUUCAAUCAUAUCAGAAAAUAUAGACAUCAUGCAUCUUUGAAAAGAAGCUGGUGCAUUACAUAACCCAAAAGACAUUCUACGAUAAGCAUAAGUUCCAUAUGGGCAUGUAAAAGUGGUUUUGCUUUGAUCAUCGGGAUGGAUCGGGAUUUGAUGAUACCCUGAAUAUCCAUCUAAGAAACAAAAGAAUGAAUGGUUUGCUAACCGCUCUAGCAUCUCAUCUAUAAAAGGUAAAGGAAAGUGAUCCUUUCUCGUGGCUUUAUUUAGUUUUCUAUAGUCUAUGCACAUCCGCCAUCCUGUGACGGUGCGUUGCGGAAUUAGCUCGUUCUUUUCAUUCAUAAUAACUGUCAUGCCUCCCUUUUUGGGCACAACUUGGACUGGGCUCACCCACUCACUAUGCGGCAUAGGAUAUAUAAUCCCUGCAUGCAGCAACUUAAUAACUUCCUUUUUAACUACCUCUCUCAUAGUGUUGUUAAGUCUACGUUGGGGUUCUCGAGAGGGUGUAACAGAAGGAUCUGUUGGAAUACGAUGGGUACAAAUUAUAGGACUGAUUCCUGUAAGAUCUUGAAGUGAGUAGCCGAAUACUGAGUGAUGUUUCUUAAGAAUGGUCAUUAAUCGCAGAGUUUGAUCCUGAGUGAGUUUAUCCCUAAUGAUCACAGGAAACUCUGGAUUAUUGUUUAGGAAAGCAUAGGUAAGACCAGGUGGUAAAGUUUUAAGCUCUAUGGGGGGUCUAGGUGUUUCUGCAAACUCAUCUAAGGGUUCAGGCUCAGAAGGUUCGUCUUCUUCUUCUGUGAAGAAAGGAGUUUCGUCUUCUAAGUCUGGUUCAUCUAAAAGCUCUAGAGAUGCAGCCUUUACUUCCUCCAUAGGAUCAGGCAAAAGAUAUGACUCGGCCUUAUUGUUUAAGGAGUGAAAUAUUAUUGAGAAUUUAAAGGUUUUUCAAAAGAAAUGUGUAGCUUUCCAGUAUGACCUUCAUAAAGGAGUCUUCUAAAAGGUUGUCCUAUCAAUAGGUCGAAGUCCCAUGUAUCAAAGAUAUAGAAGUUCAAAUGAACCAUGGAGCCUUCUACCGUAAGAGGUAGGACAUUUAUAAUUCCAAGACUGGGGACUAAUCGUCCCGAAGAUUCCUUUAUGACCUUUGUUGUGGGGGUUAAGAUAAGAUUUUUAAAUAGUUUAAGUGCAAAGGAUUCAAACAUAAUGUUGAUCCCCACAACAGGAUUAUAAAGAGCAUUAAAUCGAUCAGAAUUAUAAACACAGCGUAUAGUUAUAGAGGGUGUGUCCAAACGGAUCACAUCAGAGGAAAGCUCUGAUUCCUCCAACCAUUCGCUACUCAUGACUGAGAUAAGCUCUCUCAAUUGAUAUUCACUUGGUAAAUAAAUGCUAAAUUGACCGUUUUGGGGUUUGUCAAUAGAAUGGAGUUUGAAAUAUUUCCAAAAUCGGCAAAAAGAUCGGAUUCUAUAUCCAGCAUGAAGUUCGGUAGUGGAAUUUCUUCCUCUUGAGGCUCAUAACUUGGGAUAGCUAAAGUAGAUGAAGAAUUUGGCAGAGUGUCUACUUCGGCUUCGUAGGUUUCAUCAUGAAGGGUAUUAUCCAUCUCAGCUUCUAGGAUUCUAUCUAGGAUCACUAUUGCUUCAUCAGCAGGGAUGCGAAAGAAAGAACCUCUAGACAUUGUGUGUAGCAUUUGUUUGUGAUUUCUAUGAAGACCUCAAAAAAAGUGAAAUAAAAGAACAGGGUCUUCAAGAUUAAGGUUUGGACCAGAUUCUAAAAGAUCAGAAAAACGUUUCCAGGAUUUUCCCAAAGUUUCAUUAUCUUUUUGUUUAAAAGAUAGGACUUCGAGUCUAAGGUCGGCUAUACGGUCAAGGGAAUAGAAAUCUAGACAAAAGUUGGCUCGUAAAACUCCCCAUUCACCUUGUUGUUGACUUACCUUCUGACUGUACCAUUGUCUAGCUUCUCCCCUUAGAGAAAAAGGAAAAAGCUUCCAACGUAAAGUCUUAUCAGAAAUGCCUUCAAUGCGAAGACAAUCACAUGUUUGCUCAAAAUCUCUAAUAUGAAGGUAAGGGUUUUCGUCUUCCUUUCUCGAAAAAGAUAGGUUUUGAAUCAUGGCAAUCAACCUAGAACUUAACUUAUACUGGGGUGUUUGGAUAGGCUGUGAUGAUUCCCAUGGUAAAAGGUCAGUUGCUAAAGGGAUUGCAGACUCAUGGAUCGAUUUAGAAUUUUGGUUUUCCAUAAGGUAAGAAUAAAGAAAAUAAAUAAAGGAUAUAAAAGAUAAGAAAAGAUAAAAGUAUAGAUAUAAGCUAGUAGCAAGACUCAGGUUAUCUCAGCAACCGUCUUUCUCCCCGGCAACGGCGCCAGAAAUGCUUGUUGAUAUUUGGGAACACAAUAAGGAAUUGAUCCGCAAGCGCACGGAUAUCGGUGAGCACUUCACUCGGGAGGUUAUCCAGAGUAUCGUAUUUAUUUUUUUACCACUAGGAGAAAGAGUGCAUCUGACUAACCGGUCUAUUACUACUAACCUUUAGGCACAAAGAAUGUCUUUCGAUGUGAGUGAUAAAUAGAGAAGACUGCAACCGUAGUCUCCUUCUAACCUUGGUAAGGAUGAUCUACUGUUCUAAUGGGGAGGCUAACGGAAUCUAGACACCACAAAGGAUGUUCGACCCGCACCUAUAAACCCUACCCUUCCUGCUAACGAGAUGUGAUCUACAAAGGUAGCUCGGAAUUGUCACGUUCCUCACUACUACCACGGUCCAGCUAGUCAGGGAAUAUCUAUGAGUACCCCAGCCUAAACACCACGUUUACGCCAGCAAUGAUUACUCUAAACUCUACGCGAAGAGAUUAAAGUAAACUCAUAAACCAUAAGAACAAUAAAACAAGAACUUACUAGAAUUUAGAAGUCAAAUUACUGAAGAAUCCUAGGAGCAAGCUUCGGGUUAGGAAAACUUGAUCCCGCAGGUACAAGCUUGGAGUAGACACCGACAGGCCGGGCUUCCUCCACUCUACACCUCCACUCUAUCUCUCUCAAUCUAGUAGAAACUAGAAGAUCUAUUUCUACCUUACAUUGAUUGCUAAGCCUAAAAAGAAAUAUUAAUUAGAGAAGAGGUUUUCCUUCGAGGGCACCCCUCAGUCUCUAUGAUAAUUUCUUCAUGUCUUCUCCAGGGGCCAGGGGGGCCUUGCUUAUAUAGUCCUCCCCUUCUAUGCGUUUUUGGGUCGAUAGCCGAGGUGGUACUAUGUUUUUCUUGAUCCAAUAGGUCGGUGGAAUAUCCCGAACGAAAGAGUCCUGAUUUGGCUCCAGCAGGGGGGCGGGCGCCCAGGCUACCAGGGCGGGCGCCCUAGGCCUGGCCCAGUUUUGCCUUCGCUUCGGUCUCGUGGCUUCUGGAGUCUUCUAGAUGAUGUAAAAUUGCGCGGUGCGUUGAUAUCUCUAUGUAAUCCCGACAUGUAGGCCUUUCUUCCUUAUUUCCUGAUAACCCCCUGCAGAAACAGAUAAACAACAAAACUCGUGGAAUUCUGUUAGAUCAAACCCUAAUUCUAGGUGUUGUUUGCAUAUUGGUCCUUUCUCUUGUUUAUUUGAUAAUUGAAAUUGAUACUUAAGCACCGUCAACAGUGACGAGAACUCAAAACUCUAAAGGACUAGACACUAAGACCAGCAACUCGACACAAACCGAAGCAACGCAAAUUCAACAAGCCCUAACUAAAACGGUACUAGCCAAGGCACAAAGGUUUAAUAGGAUUAUGGAAAAACUAAUCUACUAUAUUUUUUUUGGAUUUUCUAGACUAUAGGAAAUUAAUUAAAAACAGCAAAGGAUUAGAAGUCUCUCACCGAAGAACCUUGCUCUGAUACCA